RNAcentral lists this long non-coding RNA (57379 nucleotides) under Hordeum vulgare. RNAcentral describes it as "long non-coding RNA (HVUL_LNC000591)". The stretch from base 17094 to 17229 matches the Rfam family "MIR1120/MIR1122 microRNA precursor family". Lineage: Eukaryota; Viridiplantae; Streptophyta; Magnoliopsida; Poales; Poaceae. The record is from RNAcentral.
GCGCUUCAGGUACAUUUUUCUGCCUUCUAUUGAAAUAUGACACACGUACAUUUUUCUGCCUUCUAUUAAAAUAUAUACAGCAACAAGUUACAAGUCUACUCUCCAGUUUAUCAAGGGAUUCAAAGUGGGAUCAGUCCCUUUCAUAUAGCUAUAUAAUGAAGGCAGAUUGAUGGUGAUAGUGUUCUCCCUGACAGUGCACAACCCUAGAUGGGUACCAGGUGAAUCAACAACACUAUCAGAAUAAGAAACUAACUAUCAUUGGUGCAACAGCAUGUCAACAAGGUGACCAUCAGCAACACAGUCACUCCAGCAUCCGCAGACUUCACCUUCCAACCAGGAGAUUGUCUUUGUCCCCAUCAUUCUGUAUUCCGGCCCAAACAGGAAGGGAAGCACACAUUUAACAAAUUAGAUCAACAAGGGCUGAUAUAACUUAUUAUUACGAGUUUUCCACAACACCCAGCAAAAGGCUGCAAUGCCCACCACAUGACAGUUAGGGCCUAGCGGCUAGCAGAAUGUUCUUCGCUGCCCACCAGAAGUACUGUGUAAAACAAACACGUCUAUAAAAAAAAUACCCAGAGCACGGCAAAUAAUGCUCCACAUAUAAACAGCAGCAGAACAAGUAAAGAUUUAACGAUGGAUGCCCUUAUUUUCAUCACAAAAUUGACAAGUGCAAUCACCAGUCCAUUUGCGUUUUCUCAUAUUAUCUUCCGUAGCAAUGGCAUUGUGCCAGAUCAGUCAUAACCAUACUUUGAUCUUAUAUUAAGAGGAAUCCUGGCUAUCCACAGAUGCUUGAAGGAUCUGUCCAGCCCCGGACUCGAUAAAGUAUUCUGAUGAUUGUGCCAGAUAUAUUUCAAUAAGGCAUUACAUCGAUACAUUAUGACUAGAAUAAUUUCACAGGAAGAAUAAUGAACUUUGUAAACUCAACCAAUCAAUAACCUCGAUUCGUGUAUAGGGUGAGGAGCCACCACUGAGAUGGUGAGAUUUGUUUCAAGGUUCGAUACGAAGUGGUAGUUUUGAUAAACAUUGAGGACAGUAAUCUCGAACAAAAUUACACCACCUGUGAUCGCUAAUCAGAUAUUCAGAUGAACAUAAACAGGGACGGCAGCAAGCAGAGUGACUCACUCAGUGGAUGGGCAUUCUCCAGUUCAGUUGCUGCCAACUUGUUCAGAUGUCGUAGCGGCGUUCUCAGCCACCGGCUCCGGCUCGUCGGCGGACAGGGGAGGCAUCUCGAAUCGGCAGACCGGGCAGAACCGGCUACNNNNNNNNNNNNNNNNNNNNNNNNNNNNNNNNNNNNNNNNNNNNNNNNNNNNNNNNNNNNNNNNNNNNNNNNNNNNNNNNNNNNNNNNNNNNNNNNNNNNNNNNNNNNNNNNNNNNNNNNNNNNNNNNNNNNNNNNNNNNNNNNNNNNNNNNNNNNNNNNNNNNNNNNNNNNNNNNNNNNNNNNNNNNNNNNNNNNNNNNNNNNNNNNNNNNNNNNNNNNNNNNNNNNNNNNNNNNNNNNNNNNNNNNNNNNNNNNNNNNNNNNNNNNNNNNNNNNNNNNNNNNNNNNNNNNNNNNNNNNNNNNNNNNNNNNNNNNNNNNNNNNNNNNNNNNNNNNNNNNNNNNNNNNNNNNNNNNNNNNNNNNNNNNNNNNNNNNNNNNNNNNNNNNNNNNNNNNNNNNNNNNNNNNNNNNNNNNNNNNNNNNNNNNNNNNNNNNNNNNNNNNNNNNNNNNNNNNNNNNNNNNNNNNNNNNNNNNNNNNNNNNNNNNNNNNNNNNNNNNNNNNNNNNNNNNNNNNNNNNNNNNNNNNNNNNNNNNNNNNNNNNNNNNNNNNNNNNNNNNNNNNNNNNNNNNNNNNNNNNNNNUUAAACAGGUCAGCAUCGAUUUUCAAGAUGUUAUCAUCACCCCCACACAAAGGAUCUCACUUUUACCAAAGUUUAUCUUGAGUCCAUACAUCAGCUCAAACAUAUAAAGCAGGCGCUUCAUUUUAACAGCUGCAUCAUAGCUUGGAGUACUUAUCUGUCAAGGUCUUCAGCUCUGCAUGUGUUGACACAAGGUCAUCAGGCGUCAGGUUGAGGAGAUUCUGCUGGAGGAAUUUCUCCUUCUUGAGCUUAGCCACCUUGGCCUGUUUAGCUUGCUGCUCCUUCCACUUGGCCUCGUUGAUGAAUAUAGCCACAAUGUGGCUGAUGCCAGGGGGAAGUUUCAAAUCAUCAAGUGGAGUAUUGGCGUCCUCAUACCAGAUAUUGAUGUAGUCGAGGAGGACUUUUGGGUCCAUGGCCAAAGGAAUGGAGCUGCCAGAAGCUUGAGCUACCCUCUCUUGCUUGUUUCUGAUCAUUGCUUGCAGAGUAUCAUCAUCAAAUUCAUCACUACCCUCUGAUGCAGAAGGGACGGUGAUGAUUUUGCUUGGGUUGGGUCUUGUUCCUCUCCCAGCAGUCACCUUAGUCUUCAGAGGAGUUGGUGAAGACUUUUUCUCCGAGCUUGUUGCAGCUGGGAGUGAGGAGCUGGAGGUAGCUGGCAGUGGCUUCACUACCUGCUUCUUUUCAGGUUUUGAAGCCUGUGGUGGUGCUCAGGGUUUUGGUGCCGAGGGUUUUGGUGCUGAUGGUUUUGGAGCUGAUGCUGGAGCUGGUUUCUCUUGAGGCUUUGAAGCCUUUGGUUUUGGUGGCACAGACUUUUGUUGAGGAAUUGUCGUACCAGAGGUCUCAGCAGCAAAGGAAGUAGCUGCAGUUGAUGCAACAGCAGAUGAUUCGUUGAAUUUCCUCAGAGCAGCCUCUGCCUACUUCUUGAGCUUUGCCAAGUGCUUUUCCUUUUCAUCAGGAUAGUCAUCAAGUGUCUUGAGGUUUGAGGGAUGUGCUUCUUGAUAAUACUCAAGUGGAGCCCGUUUGCCAGGAGGCUUCAGAGCGAAUUUCUUCGCAUAUUUGGGAGUGACAAAUCUGUACUCCUUCCACUCCUUAGCCCAUCGGCGUUCUAUCUUCUGAAGCCGAAUCUUUCUCUUGGGCAUAGUUUCAUUUUCAUCAGGAGUGCGGUAAUCCAGGUAUAGAUCCUCAGGGAUAUCUACGGCUGUAUUCUACUCAAGUUUCUUGCCUCCCUUUUGCUUCCUGUCAUCCUCCAUUUUCUUCAGCUAAGGAUUUUGCUGAUGACAUUGAACUCUUGAGGACUCUGAUGAGACUUGAAGAUUUUCUUCAAGAAACGCUGCAAAUGAGUUAAUUUGAUGAGAACCGAGAGAUUCAUCAGCUGACAUGUGUGUACCUGUGAACAGAAUAUAGUUGCAAGGAAUUUGGAGAGGUCAUAUGCGUUCUCAUAUUUGAAGAAAUUGAAAAAAAUUGACAGUUGAGGAAUUUGACCAGUGGUUAAGGAAUUUGCCUAAGCAUACUGUUCUUGGAUUCCAGAGUUGUACAUAUCCGAAAAUUCGCACAACUGAGGAAUCUCGUGAAAAUCUUGGAUGCUUAGUGAAGUUCAUCAAUAAUGUGGUGAUAGGCAGUGUUUGAGGAAAAGAAACGGAUGGAUCCUUGAGGAAAAACAGAUUUAUCAUCAUAGAGGUAAAAUAGUAGAUCAAACUUGCUAUAAAAAUAGGGUUUUUAUAUACCCUAGAUGGCGCGCACGAAGAACAGAGAAGAGUAGCAGGGAGAAGCUUUUUCGGUGCGGGUCCAAUGCGCCCUAUCUUGGCAGCAGAGGACGUCUACGGCGGCGGCGGACGAGGAUGGUCCGACUCCGGCGUGGUUUAGACGACGGAAAAGUCGAGGCAGUGAAGCUUUUCUUCGCCGGCGUCGAGACUUCCAGCGAUGGCGCUAGGGUUUGGAGCUUUGCUGUAGCAGGAGAGCGAUGGAGCGAAGAAGUGUUUACCGAGGGGAUGGGGACAUAUUUAUAGCCAGGCAGUUACUGUUGGCGCGAGGAAAUCGGACCAAAUAGCCCCUGCCUCUACGUCUCCGCAAGACACGUGUAGCUCACGAGAGAAGUGGUGGAGAUCGUGGACAUCGUGGUUAUCCGAACGAGGAAAGUGGGGUUGAGUUACUGUUCAUUAAAAAAAAGCAUUUUUGAAGAUUUGAGGAUUUUGUUACAAAAUCAUCAGCUGACAAGGACGCAGUGAGGAUUUCGAACAAAGUUUCAAGUAGAACGCAUAUGAAGAAUUGAAUAGACUGGAUGAGAAUAACAUAGAGGGAAAGUAGGGUCCGAUCGCAUUCACUUAGAUGAAAUAUCAACUUGAAGAAAUAGCUAUAAGUGAAUGUUGUUGAGGACUUGAAAUCACAGUCUAUCUAGGUAAACGAAAGUCAUCAAGUGUUUGAAGAAAAACGAUUUUGAAGAACAACUAAUUUGAAGAAAAUCAAAUUUUUGAAGAAAUGAGACUUUGAAGAAAUUCAACUUGAGGAAUUUCACGUUGGGAGGUGGCGUGACCCACCAUAUAAGAAUGUUGAUUACAGACGCCGCGUACAAUUAUCGUAGGGCCGUGUGAAUCAAUUCUUUGUUGAUUUCUUCACACUCAGAGUGAUAUUCUUCAUCAGUUGAAGAAAAUCGAUUCAUCAUGUGUUGCACAUCUAAGUCAUCAAUUUUGCAUAAGUGUUAGGAUGUGUGCAUGUUUUUACGAAACAUUUGAAGAUUCUAAGAUAUUUAGCUCACACCGCAACUUGCAAAACCUUCUCUCAUCCAAGGGCUUAGUGAAGAUAUCUGCCAGUUGAUCAUCAGUCUUCACAUGGUCGAUGAGGAUAUUGCCCUUGAGGACAUGGUCCCGAAGAAAAUGAUGACGAAUCUGGAUGUGCUUGGUCUUCGAGUGUUGUACUGCGUUGUAUGCAAUCUUGCUUGCACUCUCAUUGUCACAGUAGAGAGGCACAUUCUUCAUGUUGAUGUCGUAGUCCUUGAGGGUUUGCUUCAUCCAUAGCAAUUGAGUACACCAUGAGCCAGCAGCAAUGUACUCAGCUUCGGCAGUGGAGAGUGAUACGCAGUUCUGCUUCUUUGAGGACCAGCAAACUAGCAAUCUUCCGAGGAAAUGGCAAGUGCCAGAGGUUGACUUGCGAUCCACACGGUCACCAGCAUAGUCAGAAUCAGAAUACCCUACCAGAUGAAGAUUUGAGCCCUUGGGGUACCAUAAUCCUAGUCUUGGUGUGUGAGCUAAGUAUUGAAGAAUAUGCUUCACAGCCUUAUGGUGUGAUUCCUUCGGUUUUGCUUGAAAACGUGCACACAUGCAAACACUAAGCAUUAUAUCUAGCCUAGAUGCACAUAAAUACAAUAAAGAGCCAAUCAUAGAGAGAUAUACCUGCUGAUCGAAUUCUUUACCAUUUUCGUCAGUGCAGAGGUGGCCGUUGGUAGGCAUUGGAGUCUUGGCACCUUUGCAUUCAUGCAUGUCGAAUUUCCUCAGAACAUCCUUGAGGUAUUUCUCCUGUGAUAUGAAGAUUCCAUUGCGUUGUUGACGAAUUUGAAGACCUAAGAAGAAUUUCAGCUCCCCCAUCAUAGACAUCUGAUAUUCUUCACUCAUCAUGUAAGCAAAUUCAUCACUAUAUCGUUUGUCAGUACAGCCAAAUAUAAUAUCAUCGACAUAUAUCUAGCACACAAAUAGCUCAUUAUCAUAGGAUUUAGUGAAAAGAGUUGGAUCGAGUGAACCAGGUUUGAAGCCUUUCUUCAUGAGGAAUUCCUUCAAUGUAUCAUACCAUGCCCGAGGGGCUUGCUUGAGACCAUAGAGUGCCUUUUUGAGUCUGAAGACUUUGUCUGGAUUCUUUGGAUCCUCAAAACCUGGGGGCUGAGCAACAUAUACUUCUUCCUCAAGCUUACCAUUGAGGAAUGCACUUUUCACAUCCAUUUGAUAUAAGAUGAUGUUAUGAUGAUUAGCAUAAGCAAGUAGUAUUCGAAUAGCUUCAAGUCUAGCAACAGGUGCAAAAGUUUCAUCGAAAUCUAUUCCUUCAACCUGGGUGUAGCCUUGGGCUACAAGUCGUGCCUUAUUCCUCACCACUUGACCAUCCUCAUCUUGCUUGUUUCGGAAAAUCCACUUGGUUCCGAUGAUAUUGUGCUUGUGAGGAUCUGGUUGUUUGACGAGCUCCCAUACGUCAUUCAGCUUGAAUUGAAGAAGUUCGUCUUGCAUAGCUUGGAUCCACUCCGGUUCCAGGAAAGCCUCAGCAACUUUUGAGGGUUCUAUGAUAGAUACAAAGGAGAAAUGCCCACAAAAGUUAACUAAGUGUGAAGCUUUUGAGCGAGUGAGAGGACCUGGCGCGUUGAUGUCACUGAGGAUUUUGUCAAGUUCUACUUCAUUUGCAAUCCUCGGAUGAGCUGGUUGAGGAUUUCGUCUGGGCUGAGGAAGUGGUUCUGGAGCAAUUUCCUCAAGAGCACCUUCUUGAUUUUCAUCAGUGAUGGGGAUGGUUUCUUCAUCAAUUUUCUCAGUGGGAACAAUGUCUUCAGUAGGUUUGAGCUUUAUUGCUUCCUCAGGAGACAACUUAUCUGGAUCAGAAGGCAAUUGCUCUCUUUGAGAGCCAUUAGUUUCAUCGAACCGCACAUCUACAGUCUCAACAACUUUGUUGUGAUAGUUGUUGAAGACUCUGUAGGUGUGCGAGUCCUUUCCAUAACCGAGCAUAAAACCCUCAUGUGCCUUAGGUGCAAAUUUUGACCUAUGGUGAGGAUCUCUAAUCCAACAUUUUGCAUCGAAGACUUUGAAAUAACUUACAUUGGGUUUCUUAUCAGUGAGGAGUUCAUAUGAGGUUUUCUUGAGGAAUUUGUGAAGAUAUACCCUGUUGAUGAUAUGGCAUGUAGUGUUGAUUGCUUCAGGCCAAAAGCGACGAGGAGUCUGAUAUUCUUCAAGCAUGGUUCUUGCCAUCUCAACGAGAGUCAUGUUCUUCCUUUCAACGACACCAUUCUAUUGAGGGGUAUAAGGAGCAGAUAAUUCGUGAGUAAUACCAAGUUCAUCAAGAUAAUCAUCAAGACCAGUGUUUUUGAACUCUGUUCCAUUAUCACUCCUGAUAUGUUUGAUCUUGAUGCCGAAGUUCGUCGAGGCCCUUGAAGAAAAUCGUUUGAAGAUUUCCUGCACUUCAGUUUUAUAUAAGAUGAUAUGCACCCAUGUAUAUCUGGAAUAAUCAUCAACUAUGAAGAAGCCAUAUAAAGAUGUUGCAUUUGUUAGUGUGGCAUAGUGAGUAGGUCCAAAUAGAUCCAUACGAAGAAAUUCGAAGGGAUGAGUAGUGGUCAUGAUAGUCUUCGAGGGAUGCUUGGAUCUGGUCAUUUUCCCAGAUUCACAUCCACCGCAGAGAUGAUCCUUGAGGAAUUUGACUGAUUCGAUGCCGAUGACAUGCUUCUUCUUCGCGAGCGUGUGCAAAUUCCUCAUGCCUGCAUGACCUAGUCUUCGGUGCCACAGCCAUCCUUCUGAGGUUUUUGUUAGUAAGCAAGUGGUUGGUUGAGGACCUGUAGAGAAAUCAACAAUGUACAAAUCCCCUCUUCUUACACCUUCGAAGACUUUGGAUUUGUCAGAUUCCAUGAUCACAACACAACUAUAUCUACCAAAGAUAACAAUCAUAUCAAGAUCACAAAGCAUCGAGACUGACAUGAGUUUAAAUCCAAGGGAUUCAACAAGCAUCACUUUGUCCAUAUGCCUAUCCUUGGAAAUAGCCACUUUGCCAAGUCCCAAUACCUUGCUUUUACCUUUGUCAACAUAUGUGAUUUGCUUCAGAGGUGAUGGAAUUAGUGGCAUAUUCAUCUGCACGCUUUUAUCACCAGUCAUGUGAUGUGUGCAGCCACUAUCAAGAACCCACUCAGUACUCUUGGGUUUGUCAUCCUGCAGAUGAAUUAGUACAGCUUACCAUCUGAUAUGCUUCAAACUUGAAGAAUAUGAUAUCAAUUUCAUCAGAUAGGAAUUUCAUCAUAACAAAAUUAUAAGGACGUGUGAAAUAUUUCUAUUUCAUCAAUAUUAGCUUGCGUCCUAUCAAGCAUUUCCUCAGGUCUCCAGCAAAUUCUUCAGAUGAUGAUUUUCAUCUGGAGACUUGUCCUGCAGAAGUGAUUAGUUCAAUUUCUUCACCACCCACAUCUGAAGGGGUGGUAAAGCAUUCAUCAUCUUGCGAGCACCAUAUGAGAAAGGUGGCAUUGAAGCUAAUGCACUUCUCUUAGCAGUAGGGGGGUUAAAGUACUCAUAUGAAUAUGCAGAGAACUGGUUUGAGGAUUUAUGAACAUAAUGAUUUGAAGAGUAACGCUCAUAUUCAUAUUCCUUGUAGUUUCCCUGCAUGUUAGAAGCAUUAGCACGGGUACAAGCAUAGUUUUGACCAGUUGAGGAUUUUGAUCCUCUUGAAGACUUUGCUCCUCCUGGGGAAUUUGAUCUAGGGUUCAGAUUCUUCAUUGGUGGUGUCAUGAGGACAUUCACCUGAAGAUUUUCAAGAAAACUUUUGGGAACCCAGAUUUUCCUUAAAGGAGGACCAUUCCUGCAGUUAGUUCCAACAUAUCGAGCAAACACUUCACCAGAUUGAGUUUUGAACAGUUUAUGGUUGGAGGAUAAUUCACAUGAAAAACCAGUUAGAUUGGAUGGAUCAAAAGGAGGCCCAGUAGCAGCAACCCAUGAGGUUUUGGGAUACUGCUCAGGUUUCCAAUAGGAUCCAUCAGCAUUCAAUUUCAUCUCAAAGGCAAUUCCUUCUUUCCUCGGGUUCCUGUUCAAGAUCUGCUUUUUGAGCACAUCACAAAGGGUUUGAUGUCCUUUGAGACUUUUGUAUAUGCCUGUCACAUACAAUUCCUUCAGCCCUGCAUUUUCAUCAGUGACAUUUGUGUUUUCCUCAAGUGAGGAAUUUGACACUACAGGAGCAGUUGAAGAAUUUGUAGCAAUAGAAGCAUUUGAUGAUUCUGGUGAAGAAUUAGCAGUUUCACGUUCAAUGCAUUUAAGACAUGGAGGAAUGAAUUCAGCUUGAGCAGCGCUAAUCUGUUGAGCUAGUAAUGAAUCAUUUUCCAUACGAAGAUCAUCAUGAGAAAUCCUCAACCUCUCUAGAUCAAGCUUCCUUUGAAGAAAUUCAUAGGAAAGUUUCUCAUGAUCAGCGACGAGUGUGUCAUGACGAUCUUGAAGAUUAUCAAAUCUAGACUGAAGACUUUUCACAUCUUCAGUGAGGAUUUGGGUAAGAUUCAUUUCAUCAUUCAACAGGUCAUCGCUUCUAUCUAACAGUUUUUGAAGCUUUUCCAGGGAAGUUUGUUGUUUAGUGGCAAUGGUAGCAAGUUUACUGUAACUGGGUUUUUUAUAAUCAUGAGGUUCACAGUCACUUGAAUCAGAGGAGGAAGCAUCAUUCGGUACCUUUGAACCUUUUGCCAUGAAGCAAUAGGUUGGAGCGAAGUCAUCAGCAUAGUCAUCAGUGUGGAUGGUGUUAUCAUCUUCUUCGAAGUUGAAGAUUGACUUGCUGACGAAAGUGGUUGCAAGUGCAAGACUGGCCUGUCCUGAUUCUGAGUCUUCAUCAGAACCCUCCUCUUCAUCACAUUCCUCUGAUUCUGCCUCGGAAUCCAUUUCCUUGCCAAUAAGUGCCCGAGCCUUUCUGAAACUAGUCUUCUUGUGCGAUGAGGGCUUUGAAGAUGAGGAUUUUGAAGAUUUCUUCUUCUUCUUCGAGUCAUCAGAACUGUCAUCCUUGUAUUUCUUAUUCUUUGAUUCCUUUCCCCAACGGGGACAAUCAGCAAUGUAGUGACCUGAUUUCUUGCAUUUGUGGCAGUGUAAGUGCAUCUAGUGCCCCUUAGUGAUUUUGGUGGUUUGAAGACUUAUAGGUUAAGUAUCUAAUGUGUUUAUAAGUGUACAGAGGAUCUAUAAGUCAUUGAGGAGUUUGAGAUAUUUGAAGAAUAUCGACCCCUAAAAAUGUAUGUCUUCAGUUGAAGAAAUUGGUCUGAAGCUGAAGAAAUGAAUCGCGAAGAAAUUGCGAUGAAAUUGAUAUUCCUCAUGAAGAUAUUGACAUUGAGUAGAUCGGUGGUUCCUGAAGAAAAUCGUUCUGAAGAAAUUGAAGCAUGAAGAUUUACGUUUUCUGUUUUACUUUCUUCGCAAUUAAUGAGUAGGAACACCGUACUGUUAAAGGGGGUCAAAGUAACACUAUGGAAUGGAUUUCCUCAUGAUGCUCAACCCAAGCGAAAUCCUACCAAAAGCCUCAAGUGAGGAAUGUGAGUGACAUGAGGACUCUCACAGUUGAGAGUCCCGACCGUUUCGAUAAGCCACGCCAAGUCACUGAUCUUAUCCACUCCAACGGUCAUAUUAUUUAAGGGCAUUAAUGUCAAAUCAUGUCGGGAUGCUCCGAGGCUAUAAAUAGCCGCCCCCACAACCACUAGCUGGUUGGCUGCUCCGUUAGAAACUGACACUUGUCAUAAGAGCAACCCAAUUCCUCAGAGCUUUCGAGAGUAAAUCAUCAGUGAGGAAAUACACCACCCACCGAAACCACAAACCAAACCUAGUGAUUGAGCAUCACUGAAGAAGUUGUUCCUGUGUGGGACUGAAGCCUUUUACCUUUGAGGACUGUGCAUCCUCCAGACGGUUAGGCGUCAUGGUCUAGAGCAAUCCAGCAGUCAAUUGUGGAUCGCCGGGUGACCGAGUUUGUGAGGGUUUGGAAGUCUGCCCUGAAGACUUACCACGAGUGUUGGGCGAGGACUGUGUGUCCUUAGCUCAAGGAGAAUACGGUAGGGACUGUGUGUCCCGGGACUGGGUGUCUUUUGGUUUCAAUACCAAGCCGCUCCAAACCAGAUGUACAACUGUCACAACAGUUGGAACUGGGUCAUCAACAACAGUCUUCACCAAGAAUCGGGUUCUAAUUCCUCAACUCUUUACUUUCUGUGUAUUAUGUGUUGAUGACUUUCACUGUGACUGUUUGAAGAAUUUGCUGAAGACUUUCUCUGAAUUUCCUCAACCCCAAAUUCUUCACUUGAGUUAAUCAUCAUCUGUAUUCUGCGUGCCUGCUUACUGUGCAAUCUGUUUUCACAUUCUUCACUCUGUAAUACUGCUAUUGUGAAAGGUUGCACGUCUGAUCCGUAAUCGUUUCCGCUGUAAGUUAGUCAUCAGUGAGGAAUUUCCUCAGUGAUGAAAUUCUAAAAAUCUCCUAUUCACCCCCCCUCUAGUCGAUAUAACGCACUUUCAGGCAGGUUCUUUUCUUGUAGUCCUCAGAUGAAGAUUCUGAUUUCCUCAUAUCUCUUCUUGAAGAUUUACCGAACUGGCCACGUCGUGUAAACCUCUGGAAUUUCCUCACGAGCAUUGCAAGCUCCUGUCCAAAUUCUUCAGGAUCACCAAUGCUAUCAUCCGAGUCUUCUUCUUCAGAUGAGGAAAUUGCUCUAGCCUUCAGUGCACGUGGUCUAGAAUAGCUUGGUCCAUAUAGAUCUUUCUUUUUUUCUUGCUGGAAUUCAUGAGUAUUGAGUCUUUCGAGUAUAUCAGCUGGAUCAAGCAUCUUGUAGUCUGGUCUUUCUUGAAUCAUCAGGACUAAAGUAUCAAAUGAAGAAUCCAAAGAUCUUAGCAGUUUCUUCACAACUUCAUGAUCAGUAAUGUCUCGAGCUCCCAGUGCUUGCAGUUCAUUUGAUAUGUUAGUGAGGCGAUCAAAGGUAUCUUGGCAGCUUUCAUUGCAAGCCUCUUGAAGCGAUUGAAGAGAUUUCGAAGAACAUCAACACGAGAAUCACGCUGGGUUGAUACUCCUUCAUUUACUUUGCACAGUCUUUCCCAGGUAAGUGUCGCUGAGCCCAAAGCACUUACUCUUCCAAACUGGUCUGGGCUUAGAUGGCCACAGAUGAUAUUCUUUGCUUGAGAGUCAAGUUGCUUGAAUUUCUUCACAUCAGCAGCAGAGACACUAGCAGAGAUGAUGGGGACGCCAUGUUCCAUAAUAUACCAGAGAUCAUUGUCAAUAGCUUGUAGAUGCAUUUGCAUCUUGGUCUUCCACAAGGGAAAGUUCUUUCCUUCGAAAGUAGGACAUGCUGCAGUAACCUUAAUCAUGCGUGCAGUCGACAUAAUUAAAACUCCAGGUGGUUAAACCAAAAUCACACAGAACAAGGGAGUACCUUGCUCUGAUACCAAUUGAAAGUGCGUUAUAUCAACUAGAGGGGGGUGAAUAGGAGAUUUUUAGAAUUUCAUCACUGAGGAAAUUCCUUUUGAGGAAAUUCCUCACNNNNNNNNNNNNNNNNNNNNNNNNNNNNNNNNNNNNNNNNNNNNNNNNNNNNNNNNNNNNNNNNNNNNNNNNNNNNNNNNNNNNNNNNNNNNNNNNNNNNNNNNNNNNNNNNNNNNNNNNNNNNNNNNNNNNNNNNNNNNNNNNNNNNNNNNNNNNNNNNNNNNNNNNNNNNNNNNNNNNNNNNNNNNNNNNNNNNNNNNNNNNNNNNNNNNNNNNNNNNNNNNNNNNNNNNNNNNNNNNNNNNNNNNNNNNNNNNNNNNNNNNNNNNNNNNNNNNNNNNNNNNNNNNNNNNNNNNNNNNNNNNNNNNNNNNNNNNNNNNNNNNNNNNNNNNNNNNNAACUUACAGCGGAAACAAUAAAGGAUCAGGAGUGGAAAGUUUCACUACAACAGUUUUUCAGUAUGAGAAAUGUGAAAAUAGAUUGCACAGUAAGCAGGCAUGCAGUAAACCGAUGAGGAUUAACUUGCGUGAAGAAUUUGGGGUUGAGGAAUUUCAGAGAAAGUCUUCAGCAAAUUCUUCAAACAGUGACAAUGAAAAUCAUCAACACAUAAUAUGAGGAAUAUAAAGAGUUGAGGAAUUAGAACCCGUUUCACAGCGAAGACAGUAGUUGAUGACCGAGUUCCAACUGCUGUGACAGUUGUACAUCUGGUUUGGAGCGGCUUGGUAUUGAAACCAAAAUACACACAGUCUCAGGACACACAGUCCCUACCGUAUUCUCCUUGGGCUAAGAACACACAGUCCUCGCCCAACACUCGUGGUAAGUAUUCAGGGCAGACUUCCAAACCCUCACAAACUUGGUCACCCGGCGGUCCACAAUUGACUACUGGAUUGCUCUAAACCAUGACGCCUAACCGUCUGGAGGAUGCACAGUCCUCAAAGGUAAAAGGCUUCAGUCCCACACAGGAACAACUUCUUCAGUGAUGCUCAAUCACUUGGUUCUCGGUUUGUGGUUUGGUGUUUGGGGUAUUUCGUCACCGAUGAAUUACUCUCGAAGACUCUGAGGAAUUGGGUUGCUCUUAUGACAAGUGUCAGUUUCUAACGGAGCAGCCAACCAACUAAUGGUUGUGGGGGCGGCUAUUUAUAGCGUGGGAGCAUCCCGACAUGAUUUGACACUAAUGUCCUUAAAUAAUAUGACCGUUGGUGUGGAUAAGACCAAUGAUGUGGCGUGACUAUCGAAAUGGUCGGGACCCUCAACUGUGAGAGUCCUCAUGUCACUCAUAUUCCUCACUUGAGGCUUUUGGUAGGAUUAGGCUUGGGUUGAGCAUCAUGAGGAAAUUCAUUCCAAUGUGUUACCUCGACCCCCUUUAACAAUACGGUGUUCCUGUUACUCAAGUGUGGAGAAAACAAAACAGAGAGAGUACAUCGUCAUGCUUCAAAGUCUUCAAAAUAAUUUUCUUUAGGACACACCGAAUUCCUCAAUUUCAAUAUCUUCAUGAGGAAUAUCAAUUUCAUCGCAAAGUCUCCGCGAUUCAAAUCUUCAGCUUCAGAUCAAUUUCUUCAGCCGAAGAUAUACAUUUUUAGGGGUCGAUAUUCAUCGAAUAAGUCAAACUCCUCAGCAACUUAUAGAUCCUGUGUACACUCAUGAACACAUUAGAUACUUAACCUAUAAGUCUUCAAACCACCAAAAUCACUAAGGGGCACUAGAUGCACUUACACGCUCCUUUUGGGCAUUUAAGAUCAUCUUAGAGAGCGUUUCAACCGCAAGAUUGAACAGGAACGGAGAGAAAGGGUCUCCCUGGCGUACCCCUUUGUGACUCUGAAAGUAGGAGCCUUUUUCAUUAAUAAGCUUGAUACUCACCGUUCCAUUAUAAAGAAUCUUCUUCACCCAACCACACCACGUAUCACCAAACCCUUGGUUUCGGUGACAUUCCAAAAGGAAGUCCUAGUUGAUUUUAUCAUAAGCUUUCUCAAAGUACAGCUUUAAGAUUAUACCAACUUAGUUCCUACGUUGCGCAUGGUGUAGAACUUAAUGUAAAGUUAGAAUGCCAUCCAUUAUGUUCCUAUGUUUAAUGAAUGCAUUUUGAUGUGUGCUGAUCAGGAUAUCUGAGUAGACAGCGACUCUAUCAUUCAAUACCUUAGUAAUAAGCUUAUAAGGACACCUCAACAAACAUAUGGGUCUAUAUUGUUGGAUUUUUUGCUUUUGAUAUUUCUUUUGUUUUUUGUUUCCUUUUCGGUUUCGAUUUCUUUGUUUUUUGUUUUUUUCAGGGUUUUUCUUUUUAUGAAAAAAUUCUACAAAACUUAUUUCCAAAAGUUUUACAAAAGUACUAUAAAACUAUUUUCAAAGAUAUCGAUGCGGGAAAUCCAACGGUCUAACCGAUUCGUCAUUUGGACGCAUGUUUCAAAAAAUAGAACUUUUUGAGAAAACGAAUCUAUGGAAAAAGACAAAACCCUGUGAUAAUGAUAAGUGGCGCACAUGUAACGUGCCACUUGUCACCACCACAGAAGGUGAGAGUAACCCCUCCAAAGGGCACCCUCUAACUAGUGAUAUCAACAUAUAUAUUAAAAUUGUCGCAUGUGACUCGUUUAUCCCUAAUACUUGAAAAGAACAGAAAAAAUUGGAAAAUUUACAAAAAAGGCAAAUUGUCGUGUGAGAGAACUCUUGAGUUUUAUUAGUGGAGUCCUCAUUAAACAUCUCCUACAUGUGAAGGAAAAGGAGUACAAAGCCACUCUCUAGAUUACAAAAUGAUAAAGGAAAUUAUAGAAGAAGAAAGAAAAUUUACAGAGACUACAACUCUUCUUCUUCAUCAAAAGAUUUUCAAAAGUGGCUUCUAGUCCUUUAUUGUCUACAGUGUGUUGGGCUCUUCUUCUAGCUAGUUUCCCAUAUUUUCAUGGCCAAGUUUUUUCAUCAUAUUUGGGGUCCUGGUUCUUCUCUCCUCAAGUAUUUUCUAGUUAGGCUGAAAGAAUGCUCUCAUGACGUCACUGAGACGAGUACUGGUAACACAUCCCAUGUUGACAUGGAAAGCAUCGAAUAUGUAAGUGUGUGGUCAUACUGUUGUAGUAUGUUCAAUGCCUCCUCGACCUCUUUCAUUGAAGCUGACUUUAUCGAUGUUGAACUAGUUCGCUAACUCCUUGCCACCUACAAGCACAUGUGUUGUUGCUCUUGCGAAAGAGCUCGAGGAAAAUCUGAAUCUUAAGAGGGAUUUUAGCUCUCCAAAUCCAUCUAUAAUCACAGCGUGCAAUAUUUCUUUCUAGGUAUUCAUAAACAGGUUUAGUAGAGAAAUUCUUCCUACUCCCCAGCGUCCAGGCAAUUUGGUCUGGAACAUCAGAGGUAGUCCAACCUUCAACAGUAUUAUUAAGAUCCCCCCAUUGACUUAAAAGGGAAUGGUGCAUCUGUCUCCUGAAGAAAUCAGCAUCCACCCCGGUUUUGAAUCUCUCCACUGUUAUUUUUUGGUGGUUACAGAUAUUAAACAUCUCAGCAUACUUGUCUUUUCAGCGGCAGGUUACUGCGAAUGGGAUCAAACCAAAGUCUCGCAAUGUUGCCAGAGUUUAGUAGAACUUCUCUUUCAGCCAUGUAGUAAGGUUUCACCUUCAUAAUGGCCUUCCAGAUCGGAGAAUUCACAAAUUUGCUCGUCACCGAAGCCACAUCAUCCUUUCUAAGGUACUUAGCUUUAAUCACCUCUUGCCAUAGCCCAUUCUGGGUUUCUAGUUUCCACCUCCAGUUAGUAAGGAGACUAANAUCUAGCAAGCGCGAACCAACCUACCGAUUCCGGCGGUCUGGCUCCGAUCAAAAGACGGGCGAGGCAGGGGCGGCGAAGGUCGGAGUCGGUGCCCUCUGCCGCCGUCGGACGAGAGGAGGGGUAGUAAUUUUGACAGGGAAGGUGUUUUUUUUUUCUCUCUUGCAGGAAGGGAAAAGGUGUUUUGGGGGGAGCAUUUCGCACGGGAGUGAUCGACCAAAACCUGGCCAGGGCCCGUGCUAAACGUGUCUGGCAUCACACGGUCCAUGGCGGCCCGGUCAUAAACAGGCCGUGCUGUGAUAUUAAACUCAUGCACAUUACAUAUGCUCCCUUCGUGUUAAAAUCAUUACUUAAGGAAUACACCCCCCAACGAUUACGCAGGGUGUUCUUUACGCAUGACAAGUGUCGCGUUUUAAACGCGUUGGAAACCUUUCAACAGCGCUCCGCGUGACACUUGUCACGCAGGGAAGAGUCCCGUUAUUUUCGGUUUUCGUUUUCUCUUUUGGUUUUCCUUUUAACAAUUAAGCCCCUGGAUAAUUUAGGUUUUCUAGUAAUCCUUCAAUCUAUUUGUUCAGAUUUGCUUCAUCCCGUCUCGCGGCCGUCAUUCGCUGCCACCGUCCGUCCUGCUGUCGUCGUCCUGCCGCCGUCCGUCCCGCUGUGGUCAUCCUGUCAUCGUGUGGUAUUACACGGUCCAUGGCGGCCCGGUUAUGAAUAGGCCGUGUUGUGACCUUAAACCCAUGCAUAUUACAUAUACUCCCUUCGUACCCCCAAAAACAUACUCCAUUCAUUUUUACAUAUAAGUUUUUUUAAGUUUCACUUAAAAAUUACAUACGGAUGUAUAUAGAUAUAUUUUAGAAUGAAGAUUCAUCCAUUUCACUUCGUAUGUACUUCUUAGUGAAAUCUUUAAAAAGACUUAUAUUUAAAAACAGAGGGAGUAUGAAAGAGCUCUAAAGAAAUCACAUAUAUGAGAUUUGCCCUAAAAACACAUAUUUGUCUCAAAAAUAACUUUAAUUAUUGGGUAUCCUCAUGGCAGAAAUCGGAGAUUAUUUUUUGCUCGUCACCUCUUGUUAUAGCCCAUUCAUAAUGACCUUCCAGAUCGGAGAAUCCACAAAUUUGCUCGUCACCGAAGCCACAUCAUCCUUUCUAAAGUACUUAGCUUUAAUCACCUCUUGCCAUAGCCCAUUCUGGGUUUCUAGUUUCCACCACCACUUAGUAAGGAGACUAAUGUUUUGUUUGUGAAGAUCUUUCACUCCCAAACCCCCUUUUCUCUUAGAUCUGCAAAUACGCUCCCAUUUCACCAAAUGAUAUCUCUUAUUCCCCUCAUACUCUCGCCAGAAGAAUUUUUUCCGAUGUUUAUCCAGUUUAUAGAUCACCAUCUUAGGAAGUAAAAAACAUGGACAUAUAAUACUCCCUCUGUCCCAAAAUUCUUGUCUUAGAUUUGUCUAGAUAAGAAUGUAUCUAGUCACAUUUUAGCAUUUAAAUACAUUCAUUUCUACACAAACCUAAGACAAGAAUUUUGGGACGGAGGGAGUAGUAUAUACAAUACUAGUAAGGGAAGAAUUCAUCAAAUUCAGCCUACCCCCCGAGGAUGCAGCAUUGCCUAUCCAUGUCUCACAACAUCUUAGGAAUUUAUCAUCCACAAAGGACCGAUCCACGUUUCUAAGAUUGGUAUAGCUGACCGGCACCACUAGAUAUUUCAUAGGAAAAUGCCCAAUCUGGCAGUUAAACAGGUCAGCAUAGAUUUUCAAGAUGUUAUCAUCACCCCCCACACAAAGGAUCUCACUUUUAUCAAAGUUUAUCUUGAGUCCAUACAUCAGCUCAAACAUAUAAAGCAGGAGCUUCAUUUUAAUAGCUGCAUCAUAGUCAUGCUCGAAGCAAAUGACGCUAUCAUCUGCAUAUUGAAGGAUAGCUAUACCUCCCUCAAUCAGGUCGGGAGCAAGGCCAGUUAGGAGGCUCUCCUUUUGGGCAUUUAAGAUCAUCUUAGAGAGUGUUUCAACCGCAAGAUUGAACAGGAACGGAGAAAAAGGGUCUCCCUGGCGUACCCCUUUGUGACUCUGAAAGUAGGAGCCUUUUUCAUUAUUAAGCUUGAUACUCACCGUUCCAUUAUAAAGAAUCUUAUUCACCCAACCACACCAAGUAUCACCAAACCCUUGGUUUCGGUGACAUUCCAAAAGAAGUCCGAGUUGAUUUUAUCAUAAGAUUUCUCAAAGUCCAGCUUUAAGACUAUACCAACUUUUUUCCUGCGUUGCGCAUGGUGUAGAACUUAACGUAAAGUUAGAAUGCCAUCCAUUAUGUUCCUAUGUUUAAUGAAUGCAUUUUGAUGUGUGCUGAUGAGGAUAUCUGAGUAGACAGCGACUCUAUCAUUCAAUACCUUAGUAAUAAGCUUAUAAGGACACCUCAACAAACAUAUGGGUCUAUAUUGUUGGAUUUUUCAGCCCCGUUUAACUUUGGGAUCAGAGUGAUCACCCCAUAGUUCAGUCGGGCCACAUCCAGAGUGUUAUUGUGAAAGGCUUCAAACAAACUCAUCAAGCCUUUCUUGACAAAAUCCCAGCAAUGUUUAUAAAACUCCGCUGGUAUAUUAUCGGGGCCAGGUGCUCUAUUACUAUCCAUACAAAACAAGGCUUUGUUCAGUUCUUCCUUAGUGAAGUUACUAGUGAGUAGAUUAUUAUCCUCAACACUAAGCUUUUCCUCCGCAGACCAAGUAUCAGAUGAUAAGUGAAACAUGUUCCCCCUAGCUAGGUCGAACAGUUCCUUGUAGUAGUUAGUAGCAUGGGCCAGAAGGUUUGGGGUGCCCUCAAUCAAAAUAUCCCUGUUGGUGAAAGAGUGAAUAGUAUUUUUUUCACUUUCUACCAUUAGCAACCCAAUGAAAAAAAUGCAGUAUUCUGGUCUCCUUUUAGCAACCAUCGUUCGUUAGAGUGUUGGAGCCAGAAUAUCUCUUCUUUGGCUAGAAUCUCAUUGAAUUCAGCAUACAACAAUGUUCUCUUUCAUAUAUCUCAGGGUCUAAAGGGCAAGCUUCUUCCAUUCUCUCAAUAUCCUCUAACUCUUUCUUAAUGUUGGCUUUCCUGUUCCUAUCAUGACCAAAAGCAUUAGACCCCCACCCUUUGAAAUACUUCUUAAUACGCUUCAGCUUGAUAUUAAGAAUAUCAAUAAGGUCACCCGGCCCAACACGUUGUUGCCAAAUACUCUUAGCUUUAGGAUAAAAUUCAUCAUUCUUUAACCAAGAAAGCUGAAGCCUAAAUUCAUGAGUGACAGGAGACCCAUGCUUAAUAGCAUUUGAGGACAAUAGGAGAGGAUUAUGAUCAGACACAUCUCUAACAAGUUUACAUACUGAUACCAAAUGGUAUAUGUCCUCCCAAUCAAAGCUCACAACCACAUUGUCCAACUUCUCCAGAGUAGGAUGACUCUGCUUAUUAGUCCAACUAUACUUACCACCUCCCAUGUGAAUCUCCCGAAGGCUUAAGGAGUUAAUGACCAUAUUGAACUUGUCCGUGAACUUCGAGUUACCAGGAUUCCUAUUUUUUCAUCCACCCCCAAAUGAUAUUAAAAUCACCUCCUGUGAUACAAGGGAAAUUAAGACUGCUACAGGUACCAAGCAUCUCAUCCAGGAACUCAUCCUUACGAUCAUCAUGAGCUGCUCCAUAAACCACUAUCAGAUCCUACACACAUUUCUUCUUAACAUCAAACACUGUGGCUUGAACAAGGAAGUUCCCUAUCGCCCAGGAGACUAUCUCAAGGGUAUGUUUUCUAAUACCACACAGGAUACCACCAGACCUACCCACAGAAGGUAAAUGAUUCCAAAUGAAGUUGUCAAAGGGGUCCACUUUGUUUAAGAACUUAGGAGGAAACUCUUUCUUUUUAGUUACUUGGAUACCUAUAAAAUCAAGGGAAUGGUCUUUGAUGAUAUCAGAGAAACAUGUAACCAUUCCUCUCCUACCCGCUCCCCUGCAUGAUUUCAUAUCCUUGUAAUUCUCUUCGAGUUGUGGGUUUUGUUUGGCCAACUUGAUCUAAGAUUCUUGCAAUGGGAGAAGUGCUUGGUUUUGGGUUCAUACCGUGCGUUGACCUCACCUAGUGAGAGAAGGGGUAGCGAGGCACGCAUCAUGUUGUUUCCAUCAAGGGUAAAAAGAUGGGGUUUUCAUCAUUGGUUUGAGAUUAUCCCUCUACAUAAUGUCAUCUUGCUUAAGGCGUUACUCUGUUCGCCAUGAACUCAAUACACUAGAUGCAUGCUGGAUAGCGGUCGAUGUGUGGAGUAAUAGUAGUAGAUGCAGAAAGUAUCGGUCUACUUGUCUCGGACGUGAUGCCUAUAUGUAUGAUCAUUGCCUUAGAUAUCGUCAUGACUUUGUGCGGUUCUAUCAAUUUCUCGACAGUAAUUUGUUCACCCACCGUAAUAUUUGCUAUUUUGAGAGAAGCCUCUAGUGAACACUAUGGCCCCCGGGUCUACUUCACACCAUAUUUUCAGCCUUACACUUUUACUUUGUUGCACUUUCCGCCUUCAGAUCUCACUUUGCAAUCAAUCUUUAAGGGAUUGACAACCCCCUUUAUAGCGUUGGGUGCAAGCUCCUUUGUGUUUGUGCAGGUACUCUGGACUUGACACGGUUCUCCUACUGGAUUGAUACCUUGGUUCUCAAACUGAGGGGAAUACUUACUGCUCCUGUGCUGCAUCGCCCUUUUCUCUUCAAGGGAAAAACCAGCGCAAGCUCAAGAGACAACAGAAGAUUUCUUUCGCCGUAGCAGAAGGAUUUCUGGCGCUGUUGCCGGGGAGGAUCAAGUCAAGAACUCAUCCAAGUAAGUGUCGCAAACUCAUCUCUUGCAUUUACUUUUUUGCCUCUCGUUUUACUCCCCCCCCCCACUUCUGAAAAACAAAAAUUUACAAAGAUAUUUGCCCUUUUCUUCGUUUGCCUUUUUCGUUUGCCUUUCCUUUUCUUGUGUGCUAUGUGCCUUCAAUAUGCUUGCAACUUCGGUUGCUAAAAAUCUAUUGAUAUGGAUCCUCAUCCACUUGCUAAUCUCUUUAAGAGAUCCAAUUAUGUUGAUCCAAUUGCUAGUGAGUUGAGUGCACUUGACUUUCUCUAUGGAGUUUUGCUUGAGAUGCAUGAAUCUGAAAAUCGUGAUGAAGAAAUUUAUGAAGUGAUUCACGAGGGCUCCUUGAAUGAAAAGCAUGAUUGCAAUGGUUUCAUUAUAAAUUCUAUUAAUGACAAUCAUGCUAAAAAUAUGCAAAACCCUAAGCUUGGGGAUGCUAGUUUUGCUAUGUCCACUACUUGUUGCAAUAAUCAUGAUUGGGGCGAUGAUUUUUCUUAUGAUCGUGAAAAUUUGUUUAAGCCUCAUGAUGAAUAUGAUAUUUGCAAUAUUAUUGAAAGUGGGUUUGGAGAAGUCAUGACUUUAGUUGAUUAUAAUCCCACUAUUUUUGGAGAGCGUCAACUUUGCAUGCAUGUGGAUCAUGAAAAGAAUAUCCUAUGGGAUAGCUAUAUUGUUGAAUUUGAAUAUGAUCCCACAUGUAAUUUCUAUGAGAGAGGAAAAUAUUAUGGCAGAAACUUUCAUGUUACCAAAUUACCUCUCGUCAUGUUGAGAUUGAUAUUGUCUCUUUCUUCUUCCUUGCAUAUGGUAACUAUUGGUUGUCUUGACAAUCUAUUUUCCUAUAAAAUGCCUAUGCAUAGGAAGUAUGUUAGACUUAGAUGUGAUUUUCACAUGCUUUAUGAUGCUCUCGUUGUGCUUCAAUUCUUGUCUUUUGUGUGAGCAUCAUUGAUUUAUCAAUGCCUAGCUAAGGGCGUUAAACAAUAGCGCUUGUUGCGAGGCAACCCAAUGAAUUUAUCUUUUCCUUUCUGUUUUGUUGCGUCCACACCAUCAUAAUUUUGUUAUGAUUGUGUUUUUUGUGUUUCUUUUUGUGUUUAAGCCAAGCAAAACCUUUAUGACUAGUCUUGGUGAUGGUUGUUUGAUCCUGCUGGAAAAAGACAAAAACUUUUCGCUCACGAGAUUAUUUUUCAUUUGUAUUCAUAAAGAUAUUUUGAGUUGAUUCUUUUUCCCGAUGGUUGAUAUGCCUUUUUCCCACGCAGUCGUAAUUUUUCAGAAUUUUUGAGGUACCAAAAGUAUACGAAGUAUACAAAUUGCUACAGACUGGUCUGUUUUUGACAGAUUCUGUUUUUGUUGAGUUGGUUGCUUGUUUUGAUGAAACUAUGGAUAGUAUCGGGGGGUACUAGCCAUAGAAAAGUGAUAAUACAGUAAUCUAACACCAAUAUAAAUAGAAAUCAAGGUUGCUACAGUACCUAAAGAGGUGGUAGUUUGUUUUCCUGUGCUAAUGAUAUCACGAGUUUCUGUUUAAGUUUUGUGUUGUGAAGUUUUCAAGUUUUGGGUGAUGUUCUCAUGGACAAAGGGAUAAAGAGUGGAAAUAGCUCAAGAUUGGGGAUUCUCAAGGAAUCCCAAGCCAAAUUCGAGGACACCAAAAAGCCUAAGCUUGGGGAUGUCCCGGGAAGGCAUCCCCUCUUUCGUCUUCAAUCCAUCGGUAACAUUACUUGGAGCUAUAUUUUUAUUCACCACAUGAUAUGUGUUUUGCUUGGAGCGUCUUGUAUCGUAGGAGUCUUUUAUUUUUUUUGUGUCACAAUCAUCCUUGCUGCACCUUUUGAUAGAGACACACACUCAUCGUGAUUUUGCUAGAAUGCUCAUCAUGCUUCACUUAUAUGUUUUGAGCUAGACCAUUUUGCUCUAUGUGCUUCACUUAGAUCUUUUAGAGCACGGCGGUGCGUGACUUGUUAGUUGGCUUGUGCUAUGAAAGUAGUCCCAAAGGAGAUAGGUACCCAAAGAGGAUACAAAAACCUCUUCAUGUGCAUUGAGUUGAAAGAGAAGUUUUGAUUCCUCUCAAUUAGUUUUGAGACGUGGAUUUGGUAAUAUUAAGAGUUAUGUUAGUAGGGUGUUGUGAAUCUAGAAAUACUUGUGUUGAAGUUAGUGAUUCCCGUAACAUGCACGUAUGGUGAACCGCUAUGUUAGGAAGUCGGAGCAUAAUUGAUCUAUUGAUUGUCAUCCUUUGUGUUGAGGUCGGGAUCCCGCGAUGGUUAACACCUACCAACCCUUCCCCUAGGAGUAUGCGUUUAGCCCUUUGUUUUGAUUACUAAUAAAAACUUUCGCAACAAGUAUGUGAGUUCUUCAUGACUAAUGUGAGUCCAUGAUAUAGAUGCACUUUAACCUUCCACCAUUGCUAGCCUCUCUAGUGCCGCGCAACUUUCGCCGGUGCACAAACCCACCAUAUGCCUUCCUCAAAACAGCCACCAUACCUACCUACUAUGGCAUUUUCAUAGCCAUUCCGAGAUAUAUUGCCGUCCAACUCCCACCGUUCCAUCGCAUGACUUGUGCCGUCACUCUCAUAUUGCCUUUGCAUGAUCGUAAGAUAGCUAGCGAGAUGUUUUCAACGUCAUACGCCCAACUAGAUCGUUGCACAUCCCGGUACACUGCCGGGGGCAUUUCAUAUAGAGUCAUCAUCAUUCUAAGCUUUGAGCUGUGAGUAAAUAAAAGUGUGAUGAUCAUCAUUAUUAGAGCAUUGUCCCAUGUGAGGAAAUAAAAAAAGGCCAAAGAUGCCCACCAACAAAAAUGAAAAGAGGCCAAAGAGCCCAAACAAAAAAAGAGGGAAAAAGAGAGAAGGCACAAUGCUAAUAUCUUUUUCCACACUUGUGCUUCAUAAUAGCACCAUGUUCUUCAUGAUUGAGAGCUUCUUGUUUUGUCACCACCUUAUGCUAGUGGGAAUUUUCAUUAUAUAACUUGGCUUGUAUAUUCCAAUGAUGGGCUUCCUCAAAUUUCCCUAGGUCUUCGUGAGCAAGCAAGUUGGAUGCACACCCACUAGUUCUCCUUUUGAGCUUUCACAUACUUAUAGCUCUAGUGCAUCCUUUGUAUGGCAAUCCCUACUCAUUCACAUUGAUAUCUAUUAAUGGGCAUCUCCAUAACUCUUUGAUACGCCGAGUCAAUGUGACCAUCUCCUCCUUUUUUGUCUCACAACCACCACCACACUCUAUUCCACCUAUAAUGCGAUAUGUUGGGUAACGUAGCAUAAAUUCAAAAAAAUUCCUACGCAUAUUCAGAUCUUCCUAUGGAGAGACCAGCAAGGAGAGAGGGGUGAGUGCAUCUUCAUACCUUUGAAGAUCGCUAAGCCGAAGCGUUGCUAGAACGCGGUUGAUGGAGUCGUACUCGCGGCGAUUCUGAUCGCGGUGUGAUUCCGAUCUAGUGCCGAACCAUGGCACCUCCACGUUCAACACACGUGCAACCCGGUGACUGAUACGUCUCCGUCGUAUCUACUUUUCCGAACUCUUUUGCCCUUGCUUUGGACUAUAAUUUGCAUGAUUUGAAUGGAACUAACCCGGACUGACGUUGUUUUCAGCAGAAUUGCCAUGGUGUUGUUUUUGUGCAGAAAUAAAAGUUCUUGAAAUGUCCUGAAAAUUUACGAAUAUUUUUUCCGGAAUAAAAUUAAAAUACCUGCGCAAAGAUCCACCGGAGGAGGUGGACCAGUGGGCCACAAGCCCAUAGGCCGCGACCACCCCCUGGCCUCGCCGUGAGGGCUUGUGGGGCCCACGUGGCUCCACCGUCCCCAAACUCAGCUCUAUAUCUUCCAUCUCGCCCGGAAAAAAAUUAGAGAGAAGGUUUCAUCGCAUUUGACGAUACGGAGGCGCCGCCACCUCCUGUUCUUCAUCUGGAGGGCAGAUCUGGAGUCCAUUUCGGGCUCCGGAGAGGGGAAAUCGUCGCCAUCGUCAUCGUCAACCUUCCUCCAUUGACAAUUCCAUGAUGCUCUUCAUCGUUCGUGAGUAAUCUCAUCCUAGGCUUGCUGGACGGNAUGUGUUAUGACCCGGAAACCCCGGAGUGACAAUAGCCGGAACCACUCCCGGAGAUGACCAUAGUAUGAGGAGUUCAUGUAUUCACCGCGUGUUAAUGCGUUGGUCCAGUUCUUUAUUAAAAGGAGAACCUUAAUAUCCCGUAGUUUCCAUUAGGACCCUGCUGCCACAGGAGGGAUGGACAAUAGAUAUCAUGCAAGUUCUUUUCCCUAAGCACGUAUGACUACAUACGGAAUACAUGCCUACAUUAGAUUGACAAAUGAGAGCUAGUUACUUAUAUCUCCGUGUUAUAGCUGUUACAUGAUCAAUCACAUCUGUAAUACUCAUCCAUCACCGAUCCACUGCCUACAAGUCUUUUACUACUGAUCCUUGCUACGUUACUUUGUCUAGGCUUGUCCCUUGCUACAAAAGGGAUUGGGCCACUUUGCUGCUACUGCUGUCACUUUGCUACUACUCUUGCUACUACUGUUACUCUGCUGCUGCUGCUACUGUUGUUCCUUGCUACUUCGCUGUUACUGAAAGUGCAUGCUAAGCCCCUAAUCGACUUUUGGUGUUAAUGACAACACAUACAUAGGAAACUAAUCCUAUUUGUUGAGUGUAUCUCAGGAUGGCAAGUACUUUAGUAGAUUGAGAAUUAUGUGCCAAACAUGGUCUGAGAAGAUCGGGAUUUAUGUUUCGAGAAGGCUCGGGAUUUAGAAAAGAUGAUGUAGACUAUUCUUUUGAGUUUACUCAUAUUGAGUAUAGGGAUCCCGCACUAUUAAGAGGGGAUCACAGGUUUUGCGAUGAACUUGCUCAUACCACAUCUUCACUGUCAUACCCAAUACCACAUAUUCUCCACUCUGUUCCUAUCUCAAAACAGGUCUAUUGCCUCGGACUUCCGGCUCCCUCCGGACGUCCGAGGGCCGCCCGACCGACAGGCUUCGGGAAUCCGGAACCCUCCACCAGAAGAAUGUGAGUCAUAUAACUCGGAUUUCCGGCUCCCUCCGGACAUCCGAGGGCCGGAUGUCCGACCAGCCUCGGAAAUCCGGAGCCCUGCACCAGAAGAACAUGAGCUCUAUAACUCGGAUUUCCGGCUCUCUUCGGACGUCCUAGGCUGGAAUGUCCGUCCCCCUUCGGAAAUCCGGAACCUCCCACCAGAAGAAGUUGAGUCGAUUAACUCGGAUUUCCGGUCCCCUCCGGACGUCCGGUCGCUGUUCAAUUCACAUUAUUUUCAGUCAUAUCUAUAGGCCUCGGACGACCGACCCCUGUCGGACGUCCGACCUCUCGCGGACGCCCGGACUUCCGGAAACUGUCGGACGUCCGGACCCUGUGUGACUUAAAGUGUCCCCAACGGCUGUUUUUCACUCCCCACUAUAUAUACUCUUCUCCCACCUCGUGAGAGGGUGUUCAACACAGCUAGAAUACAUCCAAGAACACCUUUCUUCUCACUCACUCUUGUCUACACCAAAUCCUAGAUCCCAAGAGCAUUUGUGAGUCCCUUUGAGUGUUGUUCCAAUCAAAAGAUAGAUCGUCUCCCUCUCCUCCUUCCCACCAAAAUGAUUUGUGAUUUGAGCAAGUUUUGAGCAAUCCCCGUGAUCUUGUUACUCUUGGAGGUUGGAGACUCCUAGGCGGUAGGAGUCUUCGAAGAGGAAUCAAACCAUUGUGAUUUCCCCCGGAAAGUUUGUGAAGGUUUGGAAGCCACCUCAAGGCUUACCACUAGUGGUUGAGAAACGCCUUCAUGGAGUUAUCUCAAAGGGAGAAUAGGGUGAGCCUUCGUGGCGUUGGUGUGCCUUCGUGGUAACAUCCGCCCCUCUAACGGUGACGUAGCUUCCCUCCAAGGAAGUGAACAUCGGGAUACAUCCUUGUCUCUCUUGGAGUUUUGGUUAUUCCUAACCCUAACUCUCUACUUGUGUUUAUCCUUAUUACGUACUUGUAUUUGAUUAUUGUUUACCGCUUGUCUUACUUCACUCUAAAUAGCUUACUCCUUGUCAUAGCAAUUAUUAGGCCUACACUCAUAUUCCGCACUUUUGCCUAAAAUUGCUAAGUAAUUAUUAAAAUUUGGAAUUGUACCUAUUCACCCCCCCUCUAGGUCCAUCUCGAUGCUUUUCAAUUGGUAUCAGAGCCUCGUGGUCUAUUCUUGUGGCUUAACCGCCCUAGAGCGAGAUGGAUGAGGUUCCAGCUACGGUAGCUCUAGUGCAGAGGGACGGGACUUCCAUGGAAGUCAAGUCUUUCACCUCUGAGAACAUGGAACGGGCCCUUGCCAAGCAAAAAAUGGAGCAUGAUGCUUCUCUGGAGGCCAUGGUCCAAAUGAGACUAGCAUCACUAACCACGGGGACAACCACGUCCCCGAGGGCCUCAGGGCCACAUGUGCAUGGUACUUCAUUUGGCCAACAACCUCCGGAAAGGAACCAAACCAGUGUUCCAUGGCAUUAUGCUAGAUCUCAAAUUGAGAAACCUAAGUAGAAUCCUGGAGGAAAACCUCCCUUGCUUCAUGACAAUUCCGAUUUUGCUUUGUGGAGAGUUGGUAUGCAGGAUCAUCUUAGGUACGCCAAUGAUGAGAUGUUGGACAUCCUCGAGCAUGGGUACAAUCCUGCAGAUCCAAGGUGCCUCACUCCCAGAGAAACUUAUGACAAGCAUCUCAAUGACACUGCGAUCAUGUGCAUAAGAAAAGGAAUGAAUGACAAGCAACGGAGACCUUACAUUCACAUCACAAGUGCCAAGGAACUGUGGGAUAGCAUUAUAAGGACCAAGACCGGUACCUCACUCUUCGGCUUGCUCAAUAUGAAAUUGCCAAGGGGCAAUUACAGAAUUUCUGUAUCGAGAAGGGUGAAUCUCCCAAGAAACUACUAGAACGGCUCAUGACUCUCGCCGCAGACAUUGAGUCAUGUGACUGUGACAAGACGCAAGAUGGUUUCAAUCUGACCAAGAGAUUUCUUGUGGACAAGUUACUUCAUGCUCUUGCUCUGUAUCACCAUCAAAUGGUAUGGGACAUGAGGCAGCACCAUGGGUUCAAAGAAAUGACUCCAUAUGACAUCAUAUCCACUUUCCAACUAUUUGAAGAGUCAAAGGCAAAUGCAACAAAGCACCUUGCCAUGCAUGGCACUUCAACAUCAAAGAUCAAUCUUGCUUUGAAAGACAAGCAUGAAUGUGACGAAGAAGAAAGUGAAGAAGAAGAAGGUGAUGAUGACUGCGAAGAUGGUGAUGAUGUUGACUCUGAUGAAAGCCCAUCUUAUGAGGACAUUGCUCUCUUUGUAAAGAAGUUCAGUGCAGGAAAGUUCAAGGGAAGAUUCCCAAAGAAGAAGGUAAGGAAAUGCUAUAAAUGCGAGGGAACCAACCACUUCUCCAAUGACUGUCCUUAUGAGAAGAGAGAAGACAAACCAAGGUUUCCAAAGACCUUUGUAAAGAAUAAGUUGCCAAACCCUAUGAACUCCAAGCUCAAGAGGACAGAUGGAAGAGAAAUGGUUGCACAAGAAGAAUCAGAUCCAGAAGAUGUUGGUGGAGUUGCUGGAGUAGCUCAGAAUACACAAAACACCUUGAGGCUAGUCAACAAAAGUGGUGAUGUUGUUCACUACAACUAUAUGAAGGACUACAAGGGCAACGCUCACAAGUGUUUGAUGGCAAAGACUGCCAUGGAAGAUGAGGAAGACCAAAGCUUCCAUGAUAAGGUUAAGGUAACUCCAUGGUUAACCUCCUUCAGUCUAACUUCUACUCCAUCUGAUGAGUAUCUUGAUGCGGAAGAUCACUAUGAGGAGAACGACUUAGAUCAUCCCAUGUUUGCUAAAAUAAACAAAUUUAUGUGCUCUCUUAAAGGAAAUAAGCUCACUAUGUUUCGCAUAAUUUUGGAAAUGGUGAGUAAGCACACCAAUACCAUCAAGGAACUCGAAACCCUCGUCACUGAGGAGAAGGAAAGAAAUGAAAUCCUUGAGCAGAAAGUCCUGUAUGAGGAAGCACAAAAUGAUGCAUUAUGCUCAAAAGUAGGUGAAAACCUUGAUAAACAUGCUAAUGAUAUUGCCUCCUUGAAAAAGGCUGAAUCUGUGUGCAAAGAAUUACUAAAUGAUAAAAACCGACUUGUGAACUCUCAUGCUUCUCUCUCUAAGGACUGUGAGCGUCUAUCCUUGUCUCUCAAAGACAAGGAAGAGAAACUCACUGUUCUUACAAAGAGCUUUGAGGCACUUAAGGUUACUUAUCUUGACACUUUAGCUAAGGCCUACUCCUCACCUAUCAUUAAUGUUGAUACCUGCGCUACUAACUCUAGUAGUGAACUGACAUCUAUCCUUGAGGAAAACUGUUCGCUAAAGGCACAGUUAGACACAGGUCUCGUGACAUGUGCACAAGGACAAAAGACUCUCAAUGAGAUCUUAAGUCGACACAAUGGAGGCUUCGUCAAGGAAGGGCUUGGGUUCAACCCAAGCACCACCAAGAAAAGUGCAUCUCCUCUCAAGUGUACCACUCCGCUUAAAGAAAUAUUUGUACGAGAGGGACACAAGGAGAAAGGUAAGGUUGUGAGUGGAUCGGCCACUAGGAGUUUGCCUACUCAUAACAAGACAACCGAAUUCAUGCCUCCAUCCUAUGUACAACGCAAAUCAAAGAAAGGAGAGGUUUAUGCUAAAUUUGUUGGUCCCCGUAAUGCAUUCCGAUUCUAUGCUAUUUGGGUCCCUAAGACUCUUGUAACUAAUGUGAAAGGCCCCAUGACAAAAUGGGUACCUCAAACCAAGUCUUAAUUCGUUACAGGAUGUUUUCUCCGGAGGAGCCAAAUGGGUGAUCGACAGUGGAUGCACCAAUCAUAUGACCGGAGAUAGUAACUUGCUCUAUGACUUCAUGCAAGCCAUCCGACCAUACAUGAGCAUUGUAUUUGGUGGAGGGUCGAAAGGGCAAGUAAUUGGGUUGGGCAAGGUGGCAAUCACUAUUGACAUGUCUAUUGCAAAUGUCAUGAUGUCCAAUCUCUUCAAUAUCAUUUACUUUCAGUUGGCCAAUUGGCUUCCGUCGGUUAUGACACAUUAUUUGGACUAAAGGAUGUGAAAGUCUUUAAGAGAGACACUCUCGAAGUGGCUUUUGUUGGAGAGUUGGAUGGCAACCUUUACACGAUUGAUUUCUCGAAAGAGAGCACCUUCCAUACAACUUGUCUAAUGGCCAAGGCCGACAUGGGAUGGCUGUGGCAUCACCAGCUCGCCCAUGUUGGCAUGAAAAAUCUUCAAAAUCUCUUAAACGGCAAUCACAUCCUUGGCCUAACAAAUGUAUCUUUGAAGAAAGAUCGUGUGUGCAGUGCAUGCAUAGCUGGGAAACAACAUCAAUCAAAACAUCCACCCAAGAACAUUGUAUCCACUUCGAGGCCGUUAGAGCUCCUUCAUGUGGAUCUGUUUGGGCCUCCUUCAUGGGCAAGUCUUGGAGGGAAAAAGUAUGGCCUAGUCAUUGUUGAUGAUUACUCAAGAUAUACAUGGGUGUUCUUUCUCAAGUCCAAGGACGAGACGAAGAUCACCUUCAUUGAUUUGGCCAAACAAGCCCAGCGGAAGUUUGACAAGGACAUCAAGGCACUAAGAAGUGAUAAUGGCUUUGAGUUCUAGAACUACACCCUAGAAGAAUUUCUUAGUGAUGAGGGAAUUGAACAUCAGUACUCCGCACCUUACACCCCUUAGCAAAUUGGUGUGGCAGAGAGGAAGAACCGGACACUUGUGGAAAUGGCAAGGUCCAUGUUAGACGAAUACAAGUCACCACAUAGUGUUUGGGUUGUGGCCGUCAACACAGCAUGUCAUGCAUCAAACCGGCUCUUCCUUCGAUCAAUAUUGGAGAAGACUCCAUAUGAGCUCCUAACUGGGAACAAUCCCAAUGUUAAGUACUUUCGUGUGUUUGGAUGCAAGUGUUUCAUCCUCAACAAACGGGAACGGUUAGGAAAAUUUCAAUCCAAAACAACUGAAGGGAUUUUUGUUGGCUAUGGGUCAAACUCUCACGCCUACAGAGUCUACAACAAAUCCACUAGAUGUGUUAUAGAAACCUGUGACGUGAUGUUUGAUGAAUUUAACCGCUCCCAUGGGGAGCAAGUUGAUCUAAAUGAUGCAGGUGAAGAAGACUCCCCACAAGAUAUCUUAAACAUGGGUGUAGGUGCACUUCUUCCCAUGGAACAAAGAUCCCAUGAUGAUGAUGAAGAUGAUGAAAGUAUUUCUCAUCCUCAAGACAGUUCACUGCCCGUACCUCCACAAGAUACUAGCACACACAUCAUGCCAGUUUUUGAGGAUCAAGUGGGAGAACAUGUCUCUCACCCUGAUCACACUCAAGAACAAGUUGAUCUUCAAGAGGUAGACCAAAGUAUGGGUAUGUUUGAUGAUGAACCUCAUAGGUGCAACGCGAAGAGGAAUAUCUUCCUCCGCACAUAAAUGAUCCAUAUGUUGAGGACGUUGAUGAUGGAAACGAAGUCGAACCUCGUGAAACCUUGACCUCCAUCAUGCCACGUGUGGUCGGUCGUGUUGAUAUUGAUCAAAUCCUCACCGGCGUGUCAGAAGGUAGAGUGACUCGUAAACAAUUAACAAACUUUUGUGCUCACUUUUCGUUUGUCUCUAGUACUAUGCCACACAGGGUUCAGGAUGCAUUGUGUGACAAUGACUGGCUCCUUGCUAUGCAAGAGGAGCUAAACAGUUUUACACGCAACGAAGUAUGGUCAUUGGUAGAACAACCAACUGAGGAAGACAAUGUCACUGGAACUAAAUGGAUUUUCAAGAACAAGGAAGAUGAGAAUGGGAAUGUCCUACGCAACAAGGCAAGGUUAGUAGCACAGGGGUACUCGCAAGUUCAAGGCUUGGACUUUGGUGAAACUUCCGCCCAUGUUGCUCGUCUUGAGUCUAUUCGCAUUUUAUUGGCCUAUGCUGCUUUCAAUGGUUUUACUUUGCAUCAAAUGGAUGUGAAAAGUGCUUUUCUUAACGGUCCUCUACAAGAAGAGGUAUAUGUAUCACAACCACCUGGGUUUGUUGACCCUCACCACAAAGACCAUGUAUACAAACUUCACAAGGCUCUGUAUGGCCUCAAACAAGCACCCCGUGCUUAGUACGAUCAUCUUAAGAAGUUCCUACUCGAUGAUGGCUUUGUGGUGGGGGUGAUCGAUCCCACUCUUUUUACUAAGAGGGAAAAUGGUGAUUUGAUCUUAUGCCAAAUCUAUGUAGAUGACAUCAUUUUUGGUUCUCCUAACAUCCAUUUAUGCAAGAAGUUUGCGGCCUCCAUGACCAAGACCUUUGAGAUGUCACUCAACACGGACUUGAAGUUCUUUCUUGGGUUUCAAAUACAACAAUUUCAAGAAGGGAUUUUCUUGUCUCAAACUAAGUAUCUCAAGGAUAUUCUUGAAAAAUUUGACAUGACAAAUGCUAAACCUAUGAAGACACCCAUGGCCACAGACGUAGUUCUAAAUGAAGACACCAACGGUAUUCCUUUUGACCCAUCUACUUACCGCUCCAUGAUUGGUUCGCUACUUUAUCUUUGCGCAUCUAGACCGGACAUCAUGUUAAGUGUAGGCAUAUGUGCUAGAUUUCAAGCUUCCCCUAGGGAAAGCCAUCAUACAGCGGUUAAGCAUAUUCUUAGAUACCUUGUUCACACCCCCAAAGUUAGGCUUAUGGUACCCUAAGGAUGCAAAGUUCGAUCUUAUUGGGUACUCCGAUGCGGAUUGGGCCGGUGACAAAGUGGGACGGAAAUCCACUUCCGGUGCAUGUCAGUUUCUUGGACGCUCCUUGGUAAGUUGGUCCUUGAAAAAGCAGAACUGUGUUUCUCUCUCCACGGCCGAGGCCGAAUAUAUUGCAGCCGCAAGCUGUGCAACCCAACUGCUAUGGAUGAGGCAAACACUAAAGGAUUAUGGUAUCACGUAUCGACACGUUCCUCUUAUAUGUGAUAAUGGAGGUGCCAUAAAGAUCUCCGAGAACCCCAUUGAUCACCCUCGCACUAAACAUAUUGAUAUUAGGUAUCAUUUCUUGAGAGACCAUGUGCAAAAGGGUGACAUUGAUAUUACCCAUGUGGGUACCGACAUGCAGCUAGCCGACAUUUUCACCAAGCCACUUAGCAUAGCUAGGUUCUGUCAACUUAGGCGUGAACUUGGUAUCUUGGAGCUUGACAACAUAACUUGAAACCUUGCACACAUACACACACUCACACUAUGUUUGUGUCUUGAUGUGGGCAUGCAUUUAGGGGGAGUGAGUCUUAAUUUUCUAUGUUCGUACUUUUUGUGAGAAACCAUGAAAAAUCAUCAUCUCAUCAGCAAAAAUUUCAGAACUAGCCUCUACCUCCUCUCUCUCGGUCGUCCGACGUGUCUCGGACGUCCGACGGCAAAUCCGAUUCCGGUCAUCCGACCAGUGUCGGUCGUCCGAUGGCACAAUCCCCUCCGGACGUCCGAAGCCUGUCGGACGUCCGACGCUUCGGGGCAUAUAAAUAGCUGGGCGCGGGGCUGGGCUUUGCCCUAGCCCUCACGCGCCCCCUUUUUCCCCUACCGCCGCCGCCGCCAGCUCCUGGAGCACUCGCCAGCGCCGCCCUUCUCGAGAUCUGCCUGAUCUCCUCCGCAGAUCCUUAUCUCCUUCCUCUUCUUCCUCCGCGGGAUCCGUCUACAGGUAUCUCCUCCGUUUCCCCUCGCGUUUGGUUCCCUCUCUCCCAAGUCUCCGUGUUCGUUCCUAUGGUUUGACCAUGUUCGUUCCUCAUUUGGGGUUUCCUUCCGUAUAGGUUAUUGAGCACCAUGCCCAAGACCAAGCAUGCCGCACGGAAGAACGUUGCUGGGUUAUCCUCUCGCGCCCCUACUAGCACGGGGUCGGACUCCGACGGGCCACGUCGUCCCUUCAAACGGACUGCCCGACGUUCUCCGCCUCCACAGCUCCCCUUGUCGUCUGAUGGUGAUGACUCCGACUUCGAGGAUGAGCUUGCCGCCGAGGACCUUGCUGACCAGCCCGCCUAUCGGAGGUCCAAGCCAAAGCCCGGGACUCGCAGGGCGUCCUACAUGCCACCACCUCCUCCUGCUCAGCCCGCAGGUGAAGCUCGUCGCAUCUCACUAGAACCCCCUGCUACCUUAGGUCGUGCAAUCACGAACUUCACCACACUUGCCAAGUCGUCAUACCUCACUUUCCGCUGUGACAUUGAUCAAUACGCUGUCGUACGUGACUCUACAGACUCACGUUUCCGCACACACGUCCAGGCGGACAUUUUUACUACAGUCAUAGUUCCUAAGGGUCUGUCUGUUCAUCUUUACAUAGAUCUUGAGCAUAUUCGCAUGCACCCGGCGAAAUACCCAGGUGCCAUUGAGCUUAUUGAGGCAUCGGGGCUUGCCGCCCCGUUUUCUUUUCAUCGCGAUUUUAAUGUUGCAGCCAUUCACCAGUUCUAUGCCACAUGCUACUUUGCUCCAAACCACACUGUCAGCUGGAUCACCACUGACGUUCGCUUCACAGCUACUUAUGAUACAUUUGUUGCCGCACUUGGUUUCCCCAACUCCGGCUUCAAAAUACAUAGGGAUGAUCCUAACCAUGCGCCUAAGUCCAUUGAGGCGUGUGGGUAUCUUCUCAAACCACUACGUGAGCUUGAUGCGGAUGACCGCAUGAAGGACCUUAACCAGGUAUCCAUCUGGCGCUCACCUUACUUCAUCAUUUUUCAGUGUCUCAUCCACACCAUCUAUCCCAAGAUGGGUGAUAAGGGCUGUUGCAGUGGCUAUUGUAUUGACAUCAUGUCUCACUUGCACGAGCACCCCAAGAGCAAAAUUAAUGUGCCUCAUUUUCUAUGGCAUGAGAUUCGACUUGCUAGCUUUCAGUACAAGCGAGCCUUUCCUCAUGCCCCCUUCAUCCAGGCUCUUAUUAACCAUGUUGCUCAUUUCUCUGUGGCUGUCACUCACACACAUCGCAAGUGGGUCAUUCCCGCUCACAUGGCGGAUGACUAUGCUCCCAAGAAAGCCCCAUCCUCCACAUCCACUCGCCGCACUGCUGCCCGGUCAGCCACCCCCUCAUCUAGCUCCGCUCCUCUCGGUCGCAUUGCCAAAUUCCUUGGCAAGGCACAUUCUGCUAUGAUGAGGGCCGUCUCUUUCCAGUGUGGUCAAACCCAUGAUGUGGUUUCUCGCUUAGUCUCCUCCAAGAAUGCCCUCAAGGCUCGUCUGAGAGCCUCGGGCGCUCUUUAUGUGAGUGAUGAUGAGGCCCCUCCUGCUGCUCCUCCUACUGACUUUGGCUUCCCAUCUGGUCCUGAGUGGGCUGAUUUCCUUGACGAGGCUGGUGGCAGUGGCUUGCCUGAUGAUGCUGAUGAGCUCUGAGCGUGGUUGGUGCUGUUGGUGCCUCCCUUUUUGGUACUUGGUGCCAAAGGGGGAGUAAUGUAUCGUAGUUUUUAGUCUUUGGAGAUUUAAUGUAAUGGAUAAACUCAUGUAUGGCUACUUAUGAAUGAUUGUGAUUGCUAUGGAUUGCUAUGAUAUCAUCAUAGACUAUUAUGUUUUGCUCCACUACUUCUAUGAUGAUCUAUUGUCUUUCUAUGAUGAUCUAUUAUCUUUACAUGUUGAUCCAUUAUAUGUUCGAUAAACACAUUAAAGGGGAGCUCCGAUACAUUAUCAUGCGUAUACUAAGGGGGAGCUCCGUACUAAAUAUCUCCUAGGCUAUAAUGUAUGUUAAAUCUUUUUGAGACCUAUGUAUAUGUUGUCAUCAACUACCAAAAAGGGGGAGAUUGAAAGUGCAUGCUAUGCCCCUAAUCGACUUUUGGUGUUAAUGACAACACAUACAUAGGAAACUAAUCCUAUUUGUUGAGUGUAUCUCACGAUGGCAAGUACUUUAGUAGAUUGAGAAUUAUGUGCCAAAGGUGGUCUGAGAAGAUCGGGAUUUAUGUUUCGAGAAGGCUCGGGAUUAAGAAAAGAUGAUGUAGACUAUUCUUUUGAGUUUACUGAUAUUGAGUAUAGGGAUCCCGCACUAUUAAGAGGGCAUCACAGGUUUUGCGAUGAACUUGCUCAUACCACAUCUUCACUGUCAUACCCAAUACCACAUAUUCUCCACUCUGUACCUAUCUCAAAACAGGUAUAUUGCCUCGGACUUCCGGCUCCCUCCGAACGUCCGAGGGCCGGACGACCGACAGGCUUCGGAAAUCCGGAGCCCUCCACCAGAAGAAUGUGAGUCAUAUAACUCAGAUUUCCGGCUCCCUCCGGACAUCCGAGGGCCGGACGUCCGACCAGCCUCGGAAAUCCGGAGCCCUGCACCAGAAGAACAUGAGCUCUAUAACUCGGAUUUCUGGCUCUCUCCGGACGUCCAUCCCCCCUUCGGAAAUCCGGAACCUCCCACCAGAAGAAGUUGAGUCGAAUAACUCGGAUUUCCGGUCCCCUCCGGACGUUUGGUCGCUGUUCAAUUCACAGUAUUUUCAGUCAUAUCUACAGGCCUCGGACGACCAACCCCUGUCGGACGUCCGACCUCUCGCGGACGCCCGGACUUCCAGAAACUGUCGGACGUCCGGACCCUGUGUGACUUAAAGUGUCCCCAACGGCUUUUUUUCACUCCCCACUAUAUAUACUCUUCUCCCACCUCGUGAGAGGGUGUUCAACACAGCUAGAAUACAUCCAAGAACACCUUUCUUCUCAUUCACUCUUGUCUACACCAAAUCCUAGAUCCCAAGAGCAUUUGUGAGUCCCUUUGAGUGUUGUUCCAAUCAAAAGAUAGAUCGUCUCCCUCUCCUCCUUCCCACCAAAGUGAUUUGUGAUUUGAGCAAGUUUUGAGCAAUCCUCGUGAUCUUGUUACUCUUGGAGGUUGGAGACUCCUAGGCGGUAGGAGUCUUAGGAGAGGAAUCAAACCAUUGUGAUUUCCCCCGGAAAGUUUGUGAAGGUUUGGAAGCAACCUCAAGGCUUACCACUAGUGGUUGAGAAACGCCUUCGUGGAGUUAUCUCAAAGGGAGAAUAGGGUGAGCCUUCAUGGCGUUGGUGUGCCUUCGUGGUAACAUCCGCCCCUCUAACGGUGACGUAGCUUCCCUCCAAGGAAGUGAACAUCGGGAUACAUCCUUGUCUCUCUUGGAGUUUUGGUUAUUCCUAACCCUAACUCUCUACUUGUGUUAAUCCUUAUUACGUACUUGUAUUUUAUUAUUGUUUACCGCUUGUCUUAAUUUACUCUAAAUAGCUUACUCCUUGUCAUAGCAAUUAUUAGGCCUACACUCAUAUUCCGCACUUUUGCCUAAAAUUGCUAAGUAAUUAUUAAAAUUUGGAACUGUACCUAUUCACCCCCCCUAUAGGUCCAUCUCGAUCCUUUUCAGUUACUUGUUGCAAGAUCUUUUCCGACACUGUUAUCGGGGAAGAAUAGUUACUUGCCCACGUGCAACACUGGCGCCAUUAAUACAACAGUUAGGAAUAGUUUGCCGUCAACAGAUCGUUUUUGGCACAGUUGCUAUCAUACUACUUUGCUACUGAUACUUUGCUUGCACACACUAAUCUUUCAGGUGUGGUUGAAUCUCACAAACUCAGCUGCUAAUACUCGAGAAUAUUCUUUCGUUUCCCCUUUGGCGAAUCAACAAAUUUGGGUCGAAUACUCUACCCUCGAAAACUGUUGCGAUCCCCUACACUUGUGGGUUAUCAAGACCUUUUUCUGGCGCCGUUGCCGAGGAAGCACAGCUAUAUUCUCUGAGUCACUUGGGAUUGACGUCUGCUGGUCAUUAUGAGGAAUCCGAGAGAUCCAAGAACUGAAAUCAUGCCCUCCACUACGAGGACAGGUAAGGAACUGCCAUCUAGUUCUGCACUUGAUUCAGCUUCAGUUUUGAGUAAGUUUGCGACUUCGCCUCCUGCUAGAAAUCUUGAUAUGUCGCCUGUGCUUGAUACUAUACCUGAUGAUGCUAUGCCUGAUACUAUGCCUGAUGAUGCUAUGCUUGAUACUAUGCCUGAUGAUGCCAUGCCUGAUACUGCUUUGCCACUAGGUGCAUUCCUUGAUGCACAACUUGCUAGAGUUGCUGCUAGACAUGAUGAUACUUCUGAAACUGCUGAUGCUAUUGAAGUAGAACCUGCUACUAUGCCUGAAUUGCCUGUUAUGCCUGCUACACGCUAUGUUAUGGAGGGAGAGAUAGCUGAGGACUUUCUUGCGUGUAAGGAUAGCUAUGAUGUUGAGAAACUUCUGCGCAAGUGGAAAGAAAAAUCUCUGAACGCUAGGAUGAAAUACGACCCGAAGUUUGCUACUUCGCCUAUCUUUGUGACCGAUAAGGAUUAUGAAUUCUCUGUCGACCCUGAGUUAAUCACUCUAGUCGAAUAUGAUCCUUUUCACGGUUAUGAGUCUGAAACGGUUGUAGCCCAUCUUACCAAACUGCACAAUAUAGCCACCCUAUUCACUACUGAGGAAAAGAUUCGCCACUACUACAUGCUCAAGCUGUUUCCUUUCUCGCUAAAGGAUGAUGCUAAGACCUGGUUCACUUCUCUUGCUCCUGGUUGUGUGCGUAGCCCCCAAGAUAUGGUCUACUACUUCUCUGAAAAAUAUUUCCCUGCCCAUAAGAAGCAAGCUGCCUUGCAGGAAAUAUACAACUUUGCUCAAGCUGAGGAAGAGAGUCUCCCACAAGCUUGGGGGAGGCUCAUCCAGCUACUGAAUGCUUUGCCUGAUCACCCUCUUGAGAAGAAUGAAAUACUUGAUAUCUUCUAUAAUGGACUUACCGAUGCUUCCAAAGACCACCUAGAUAGUUGUGCCGGUUGUGUUUUUAGGGAACGAACUGUAGAACAAGCUGAGAUCCUAUUGAAUAACAUCUCGUGCAAUGAGAAUGCUUGGACUAUUCCCGAACCACCUCCUAAGCCAACUCUGAAGAAAAGAGGUAUUCUAUUCCUCAGUCCUGAAGAUAUGCAAGAAGCCAAGAAAUCUAUGCGAGAGAAAGGCAUUAAAUCUGAAGAUGUCAAAAAUCUACCACCUAUCGAAGAGAUCCAUGGUCUUGAUAACCCGAUACAGGUAGUAGAAGUAAAUUCUCUGCGUAGGUUUGAUGAGAGUGAUAUUCCUUUUGAUAAACCUGCUAGCUUAUGCAUGGAUGAAUUUGAUAACUUUGUUGCCAAACAACAAAGCUUCAAUGAUUAUGUUAGCAGAAAAUUGGAACAAAAUGCUCGUAUGCUUAGUCAUUUAAGUGCUUGUGUGGACAGAAAUGUCAAUGAUCUUAAGCUUCUGAGUAAACAUGCCUCCAUGGUUACUACUCUAGUAGAACAAGUACUUAAAGCUCAGAAUGACUUGCUCAAUGAGCUGAAUGACAAUUCUGGCAGAGUCGUUAUGAGAGGCGGUAGAAUGACCCAGGAACCUCUGUAUCAUGAGGGUCAUCCGAAGAGAAUUGAACAAGAUUCUCAAGUAGUUAGCACUGAUGCACCUAGUCAUCCUUGAAAGAAUAAGAAAGAUGAUAGGAACCUGCACGCUAGCAACCCAGAUGCUGCUACACCUGAGAGUCCAAACGAUGCCUCUGUUUCUGAUGCUGAAACACAAUCUGGUGAUGAACAUGAGCCUAAUGAUAAUAUCAAUAGUGACGUUCAUUAUGAUGCUCAACCUAGCAAUGAUAAGGAUGUGGAGAUUGAACAUGUUGAUCUUGAUAACCCACAGCCUAAGAAUAAGAGAUACGAUAAGAAUGACUUCGCCGCUAGGAAGCAUGGUAAAGAAAAGGAACCAUGGGUUCAGAAACCUAUGCCCUUUCCUCCCAAACCAUCCAAGAAAAAGGAUGAUGAGGAUUUUGAGCGAUUCGUUGAGAUGAUCAGACCUGUCUUUCUGCAAAUGCGUUUGACGGAUAUGCUCAAGAUGUCUCCGUAUGCUAAGUACAUGAAAGAUACUGUGACUAAUAACAGGAGGAUACCUGAGGUUGAGAUUUCCACCAUGCUCGCUAAUUANUAAUUAGCGAGCAUGGCGGAGAUCUCAAGAUCAGGUAUCCUCCUCUUAUUAGUCACAAUAUCUUUCAUGUACUUAGCAUACGGAGACAUCUUGAGCAUAUCAGUCAAACGCAUCUGCAGAAAGACAGGUCUGAUCUUUUCAACGAAUCGCUCAAAAGCCUCAUCAUCCUUUUUAUUGGAUGGUUUGGGAGGAAAGGGCAUAGGUUUCUGAACCCAUGACUCCCUUUCUUUACCGUGCUUCCUAGCAGUGAAGUCAUUCUUAUCGUAUCUUCUAGUCUUAGGCAGUGGGUUAUCAAGAUCAACACUAGGUUCAGUCUCCACAUCCUUUUUAUUGCUAGGUUGAGCAUCUUCAUGAACAUCACUAUUGAUAUUAUCAUUAGGCUCAUGUUAAUCACCAUAUUGUGUUUCAGCAUCAGAGACAGAGGCAUCGUUUGGACUCUUAGGUGUAGCACCAACAGGGUUGCUAGCGUGCAGGUUCCUAUCAUAUUUCUUCUUCUUUCUAGGGUGACUAGGUGCAUCAGUGCUAACUCCUUGAGAAUCUUCUUCAAUUCUCUUCGGAUGACCCUCAGGAUACAGAGGUUCCUGGGUCAUUCUACCGCCUCUAGUGACGACUCUGACGGAAUUGUCAUUCAACUCAUUGAGCAAGUCAUUUUGACCUUUAAGUACUUGUUCUACCUGAGUAGUAACCAUAGAAGCAUGUUUACUCAGAAGCUUAAGAUCAUUGACGUUUCUGUCCACACAAGCACUUAAAUUACUACGCAUACAAGCAUUCUUUUCCAAUUGUCUGCUAACAUAAUCAUUGAAACUUUGUUGUUUGGUAACAAAGUUAUCAAAUUCGUCCAUGCAUAUGCUAGCAGGUUUAUCAAAAGGAAUAUCACUCUCAUCAAACCUACGCAGAGAAUUUACUUCUACUACCUGUAUCGGGUUAUCGAGACCAUGGAUCUCUUUGAUAGGUGGUGGUUUUUGACAUCUUCAGAUUUAAUGCCUUCCUCUCGCAUAGAUUUCUUGACUUCUUGCAUAUCUUCAGGACUGAGGAAUAGAAUUCCUCUUUUCUUCGGAAUUGGCUUAGGAGGUUGUUCGGGAAUAGUCCAAGCAUUCUCAUUGCACAAGUUGUUAUUCAGUAGAAUCUCAGCUUGUUCUACGGUUGUUCCCUAAAAACACUACCGGCACAACUAUCUAAGUGGUCUUUGGAAGCAUCGGUAAGUCCAUUAUAGAAGAUAUCAAGUAUUUCAUUCUUCUCAAGAGGGUGAUCAGGCAAAGCAUUCAGUAGCUGGAUAAGCCUCCCCCAAGCUUGUGGGAGACUCUCUUCUUCAGCUUGAGCAAAGUUGUAUAUUUCCUGCAAGGCAGCUUGCUUCUUAUGGGAAGGGAAAUAUUUUUCAAAGAAGUAGUAGACCAUAUCCUGGGGGCAACACACACAACCAGGAGCAAGAGAAGUGAACCAAGUCUUAGCAUCAUACUUUAGCGAGAAAGGAAACAGCUUGAGCAUAUAGUAGUGGCGGAUCUUUUCCUCACUAGUGAAUAGGCUGGCUAUAUCGUUCAGUUUGGUAAGACGGGCUACAACCAUUUCAGACUCGUAACCAUGAAAGGGAUCAGAUUCGACCACAGUGAUUAACUCAGGGUCGACAGAGAAUUCAUAAUCCUUAUCGGUCACUGCUAACGGCAGUCCCCGCCAAGGACACUAGAAGAAUGUUGUUGACGAGUCCCUGGCUUGAUGCCUUCACGACAACAGAGCCAGAACUACUCCCAGUUGCUCAACAAUUAUCAAUUGUCUUGCAAUGGCCCACCAGCGCGUGGGUUCGCGGCAGUUUUCGAGGGUAGAGUAUUCGACCCAAAUUUGUUGAUUCGCCAGACACAAAGUGAGAGGAUACUCUCGAGUAUUAGCAGCUGAAUGUGUCAGAUUCAACCACACCUGAAAGAUUAGUAUCUGCAAUUAAAGUAUCAGCAGCAAAGUAGGAUGAUAACAACGGUGUCAGAAACGAUCUGUUGACGGCAGACUAUUCCUAACUGUCGUCUCAAUGGCGCCAGAAGUUGCCCGUAGACGGAAAUAGUCUUUUCCCGUCAACGUCGAGCGAACCAGUAUUCUAGCAGGUAGCAUCAGUAUAAUGAGUAACAGCAGUGGCAAGGACAAGCAGUAGUGACAGCAAUAGCAAGUAGCAACACUAGCAAGUAGCAACACUAGCAAGUAGCAACACUAGCAAGUAACAGUAGUAGCAAGCGACAGUAGUAACAGCAGUAGCAAGUAGCAACAGUAGUAAUAGCAGAAGAGCAAAACAAGUCACAGAAGCAGUGGGACAAACUCGUAGGCAAUGGGUCGGUGAUUCGUUUGGAUGACAUUCAUCAUGCAACAGUUAUAAUACGGAGAGAUAUGUGGCUGGCUCCCGUUCGUCAAUGUGAUGUAGGCAUGCAUUCCGUGUGUAGUCAUACGUGCUUAGGGAAAAGAACUUGCAUGACAUCUAUUGUCCAUCCCUCCCGUGGCAGCGGGGUCCAAAAGGAUACUACAGGAUAUUAAGGUUCUCCUUUUAAUAAAGAACCGGAACAACGCAUUAGCACUUGGUGAACACAUGAACUCCUCAAACUAUGGUCAUCACCGGGAGUGGUUCCGGUUAUUUUCACUCCGGGGUUGCCGGGUCAUAACACAUAGUAGGUAACUAGAACUUGCAAGAUCGGAUCUAAAACACACAUAUAUUGGUGACAACAUAAUAAUUUAAGAUCUGAAAUCAUGGCACUCGGGCCCUAGUGACAAGCAUUAAGCAUGGCAAAGUAGUAGCAACAUCAAUCUCAGAACAUAGUGGAUACUAGGGAUCAAUCCCUGUCAAAACUAACUUGAUUACAUGAUAAAUCUCAUCCUACUCAUCACCACCCAGCGAGCCUACGAAUAGAUUACUCACGAAUGAUGAAGAGCUUCAUGGAAUUGGAGAGGGAAGAAGAUUGAUGAUGACGAUGACGACGAUUUCCCCUCUCUGGAGCCCAAAACGGACUCCAGAUCUGUCCUCCAGAUGAAGAACAGGAUGUGGCGGCGCCUCCGUAUCGCAAACGCGACGAAAUCUUCUCUUCUGAUUUUUUCUGGGCGAAAGUGAAUUUAUAGAGCUGAGUUUGGGUGCGGCAGAGCCACGUGGGCCCCACUAGCUUGGUUGCCGUGACCAGGGGGUGGCCGCGGCAACAGGGCUUGUGGCCCACUGGCCCAUCCCCUCCGGUGGAUCUUUGCGCAGGUAUUUUUCAUAUUUUCCAGAAAAAUUCUCCGUAAAUUUUCAGGACGUUCCGAGAACUUUCAUUUCUGCACAAAAACAACACCAUGGCAAUUCUGCUGAAAACAGCGUCAGUCCGGGUUAGUUCCAUGCAAAUCAUGCAAAUUAGAGUCCAAAACAAGGGCAAAAGAGUUUGGAAAAGUAGAUACGAUGGAGACGUAUGAACUCCCCCAAGCUUAAAAACUUGCUUGUCCUCGAGCAAUUCAGUUGACAAACUGAAAGAGAAAGAAAAACUUUGACAAACUUUGUUUGAUCUUGUUGUUGCAACUAUGUCUAACUCGUAACCAGAAUUUCAAAAAGAUCAAAAGUUAACCACAUAAGCAAGUGACACGAAGGUCUCACGGUAAACUAAUAUCAAGGGCAUAAUCAGCUACCGAGCAAAUAAUAAUGAGUUUCAGAUACCAACAAUUCAAUCAAAACAAGCAUGAAGCAAUAUGAAUAGGUGGUAUCUCGCUAGCUCUUUCUGAGACCGCAAAACAUAAAUGCAGAGCACUUUCAAAGAUCAAGGGCUGACUAAACAUUGUAAUUCAUAGCAACGAAGAUCCAGUCAUAGUCAUACUCAAUAUCAAUCAAAAGCAAAGCAUAAAAAUGACAGACAUGCUCUCUAAUUGGUGCUUAUAUAAGAAGAGGAUGACUCAACAGGAAAAUAAAUAGACACGCCCUUCGCAGAGGGAAGCAUUGAUUUGCAGAGGUGCCAGAGCUCAAGCUUUGAAAACAGAGAUAAUAAUUUUAGGUGGCAUGCUUUCAUUGUCAAUGCAAUGACCAAGAGUUCUCAAUAUCUUCCACGCCACUCAUGAUAUAGGCGGUUCCCAAACAGAAAAGCAAAGUUUUAACUACCCUACCACCAAUCAAUCACACUCCACGGCUAGCCGAAUCCUCGGGUACCGUCCAUACUAACAUCAAUUCGGGGGGAGUCUUGUUUUACAGUUAUGUUUUCGAUUUAAGCGUGGAACUUGGCAUUCCAAUUACCGGCCCCUUUCCCGUGAAUGACAGUGAAUAAACACAUGUCGAGGAUAACACGCCUAACAUGGAAGAUACCAAUAGCCCCCUGUCACCACAUGAGCGGUUCGGGCAUGCAAAACAGAUUAUUUCUUGAAGGUUUUAGAGAAUGGCACAUGCAAAUUUACUUGGAACGGCAGAUAAAUACCGCACAUAGGUAGGUAUGGUGGACUCUCAUGGAAAAACUUUUGGGUUUAUGGAAGUGGAUGCACAAGCAGUAUUCCGCUUAGUACAAGUGAAGGCUAGCAAAAGACUGGGAAGCGACCAACUAGAGAGCGACAACAGUCAUCAAGAUGCAUUGAGUUUGACUAACAUGGAAUGCAAGCAUGAACAGGAUAUAAAUCACCAUGAACACGAACAUCAUAGAGGCUAUGUUGAUUUUAUUUCAACUACAUGCAUGAACAUGCGUCAAGUCAAGCCACUUGAAUCAUUCAAAGGAGAAUACCAUCCUAUCAUACUACAUCAUAGUCAUCUCAAAAUCUACGUUGGCAUUCAAGACAAACCAUUAUAAGCUCCUAGCUAAAUAAGCAUGGCAUCAGAAACUAUGAUCUCUAAGUUGUCAUUGCAAACAUGGUUCUCUCACAACAAAGUUGAAUCUGGAAUGACAAGCUAUUCAUAUUUACAAAAACAAAAUAGAUAGAGUUCAUACCAGCUUUUCCAGUCUCAGUCACUUCAUCAUAUAUCAUCAUUAUUGCCUUUCACUUGCACGAUCGAACGAUGUGAACCAUAAUAAGCGUGCUCGUGCAGUGGACUAAGCUGAAUCUGCAGGCAAACACAAAGGAGAAGACAAAGUAAUAUGGCUCUUUGAAAUCUAAACAGGUAUGCAUGCAAGAGCCACUAAACAUUGUAACCAAUAUCUUCUACCUUGACCCAAAGAAAAAGAAAAGUAUUUACACGGGAAAGCUCCCAACAAGCAAAAAGAAGAAAGGAAAAUCUUUUUGGGUUUUCUCAAGAGGACACAAAACAAGAAAACAAAAAUAAACUAGCAUGGAUAAUACAGUGGCAAAGUGUGAACACCGACGAACAAAGUGAAAGCAUAAGCAUGAAUGUAAGGUCGGUGAGAACACGUACUCCCCCAAGCUUAGGCUUUUGGCCUAGCUUUGUCUACUCCCAAGGCGGGAAAUAACCAGCACCGAGAUACUCUGGAGCGGAGUGUGGAUGCCACUGCUGUGUCAGCUCCUCUGGCUCCCACUAAUAAACUUGCGUCUGGUACUCGACUGGCGGUUCGGGCACGGGUACCUGUGGUUGGGCUAAGCCCCAAUAUGCGUAGAUGUCCGAGGGCAUAAUAGUGUACAUGCCUGCAUGAAGAUCGAACAAAGAAGGAGCCGGCAAAUUAAUAGUCUCUCAAGUACCCUCACUAAAUACCAUGUUAUAAAUCAUCCGUCUACUAGCAUCUCUAUCGAGAAAAUCAUGGUGAACCAUGUUGUCAUAAUCCAGAUAUUUCUCAGGAAGAAGCAUCUCUUCUUCCUCGCGAAGUCUAAUAGGUAUCUCAAAGUGUCUAGCAAGACGAGUAGCAUAGAUACCUCCAUAGAUGACAAUUUCGGAACGGUUUGUGUUCAACCGCUGAGCUACUAUAGCACCUAGGCUAUAAGUCUUAGUGCUAUAAAGGCCUUCGCGCAAAACCGCAAGGUCUGGAGAGCUAAGUGAUCCAGACUCCCCACGGCCAAUGAAACAUUUUCCCACAAAUAGUGAGAAGUACCGAAGCAUAGGAAAAUGUAUGCUAGCAAUUCUAGCGCGAGACAUUCCUCUCUCCUCUCCAACAGCAAUAGUACCUAUGAAAUCCUCCAAGUCCCGUGGACGAGGAUCAUGAAUAUCCCCAACAUAAGGUAAUUUGCAUGCAUUGCAAAAAUCCUGUAGUGUCAUGCACUGGGGGAUAUCGUACAACAUGAACUCAACCAUGGGAGGAUUCUUCCUCGGAUAAAAGUUGAAGCUUUGAACGAAAAUAUUGGUGAGGAGGAGGUAUUGUGAGCACUUAUCUUCAACGAACGCGGUAAGACCUGCGUUCUCCACCAAGUAAUAAUAGUCUUCAUAAAGCCCGGUGGCGCGUAAAAAUUCAUCACUUGGCCACUCGCGCGCUCGAAUUUCUGUGACUCGAGGAACCACGUACUUGGGGUGGUUCUUCUCAUCUUCCUUGGGGUUACGGCUUGAAGAGCCUCUCAAGAACCUCCUCAUCUUUUUCCUUUUCUAGCUCUGAAAAUUUCUGAAAUUUUUAGAGACUUCGAAAGAAAUGUGAAUAAAGAUUAACCCAACUCGUAGCAACUACUCCUACUAGUGCCUAGAGACCGUAUCAGGCGCUAAAUCUACUUGGGACCAGCUAAAAUCAACAUUUCAAGCUCAAGAACAGGGUCACCAAGGUAGCAAUAAUACGCGAAGGAUAAAGCACUAGAGCAAAAACUAAUUGGACCAAUGGAGGAGUCACUUACCAAGGAGCAAUUUCCCCAAAACAGUUCGGAGAAUGAUGCUUUGAGCAAGGAGAUCGAAAAUCACAGCCAAAUGAGCAAGAACACGGGUUUGAGCUCCGAAACAAUUUUUUCUGGAGGUAGAGGAAGAGGAUGGGAGCUGGAAUGAGUGGAGGGGCCCCUGUGGGCCCCACAAGCUUGCUUUACGCGGCUAGGGGGUGGCCGCGGUGACAGGGCUUGUGGCCCACUGGGGUGGCCCCGAGGCCAGCUCUCAGUCCCAGUAUUUUUCAAAUAUUCCAGAAAAAAUCAUACUAGAUUUUCAGGACCAUCGGAGAACUUUUAUUUUCGGGGUAUUUUUCUCCGGGACGCUAAAACAGAAAACAGGAAAAAAAAUUCUUCUAAGUAAAAUAAAGUGAAACCUUAAAAUAGAGGUAUGUGACUCUUUCAUUCAUCCAUUUCAUGGUCAUCGAAAGAAAUCCGUCAAUGGGGUUGAUCAAAUCCUUAUGACAAAACUUUCUCGAAUCGCAAGAGAGAACGGAGAAUUUUCGAAUAACCACUAGGUCACCUCAAUGGGGAUAUGAAUCUCCCCAACAAGCAAAUCAUACUUCAUCUUGGCACGAGGAAUAGGGCAUUCAAAGCUCCCAAUAAGAAUCGAUGAAGUUUUUUUGAUAGCAUUGAUGCAAUGUACUUGAUAUCGUUUCUUCGGAAAGUGCACGGUAUGCUCAUUACCGUUGACAUGGAAAGUGACAUUGCCUUUGUUGCAAUCUAUAACAGCCCCUGCAGUGUUCAAAAAGGGUCUUCCGAGGAUGACAGCCAUGGCAUCGUCCUCGGGAAUAUCCAAGAUAACAAAGUCUGUUAAGAUAGUGGUAUUAGCAACCACAACAGGCACAUCCUCGCAAAUGCCAACAGGGAAAGCAGUUGAUGUGUCGGCCAUUUGCAGAGAAAUUUUAGUGGGUGUCAACUUAUCCAAUUCAAGUCUACGAUAAAGAGAGAGAGGCAUAACACUAACUUCGGCUCCAAGGUCACAUAAGGCAGUUCUUACGUAGUUUCCUUCAAUGGAGCAAGGUAUAGUGGGCACUCCGGGAUCACCAAGUUUCUUAGGAGUUCCACCUUUGAAAGUGUAAUUGGCAAGCAUGGUGGAGAUCUCAAGAUCCGGUAUCUUCCGUUUAUUGAUCAUGAUAUGUUUCAUGUACUUGGCAUACAGAGACAUUUUGAGCAUAUCAACUAACCGCAUCUGCAAAAAGACAGGUCUUAUCAUUUCAAUAAAGCGCUCAAAAUCCUCAUCAUCCUUUUUCUUGGAUGGCUUAGGAGGAAAGGGCAUAGGUCUCUGAACCCAUGGCUCUCUUUCUUUACCAUGCUUCCUAGCAGUGAAGUCAUUCUUAUCGUAUCUCUUAGGUUGUGGGUUAUCGGGAUUAACUGUAGGUUCAAUCUCCACAUCCUUAUCAUUGCUAGGUUGAGCAUCAUUAUGAACAUCGUUGUCCACAUUGUCACCAGGUUAAUGUUCAUCACCAGAUUGUGUUUCUACAUCAGACGCAGAAAUAUCAUUUGGUUCUUCAGGUGUGACAGUAUUUGGUGAACUGACAUGCAGGUUUCUAUCAUCCUUCUUCUUCUCCUUAGGAUGACUAGGUGUAUCAGCAUUAAUUCCUUGAGAAUCUUGAUCAAUUCUCUUAGGAUGACCUUCAGGAUACAAAGGUUCCUGAGUCAUUUUGCCUCCUCUAGUAAUGACUCUGACAGAGUUGUCAUUUAAUUCAUUGAGCAAGACAUUUUGAGCUUUAAGUACUUGUUCUACCUGAGUAGUAAUCAUAGAGGCAUGUUUACUCAGAAGCUUCAGAUCAUUGACAUUUUGUCUACACAAGCACUUAAAUGACUAAGCAUACGAGUACUUUGUUCCAAAUGUCUGCUAACAUAAUCAUUGAAACUCUGUUGUUUGGCAACAAAGUUGUCAAAUUCAUCAAAGCAUAGGCUAGCAGGUUCAUCAAAAGGAGUAUCACUCUCAGCAAACCUACACACAGAAUUUACUUCUACUACCUGUAUCGGGUUAUCGAGACCAUGGAUCUCUUCGAUAGGUGGCAGAUUUUUGACAUCUUCAGAUCUAAUGCCUUUCUCUUGCAUAGAUUUCUUGGCUUCUUGCAUAUCUUCGGGACUGAGGAAUAGAAUACCUCUUUUCUUCGGAGUAGGCUUAGGAGGUGGUUCGGGAAUAGUCCAAGCAUUAUCGUUGAUCAAGAUGUUAUUCAGUAGGAUCUCAGCUUGUUCUAUAGUUUGUUCCCUAAAAACACAACCGGCACAACUAUCUAGGUGGUAUUUAGAAGCAUCGGUAAGUCCGUUAUAGAAGAUAUCAAGUAUCUAUUUCUUCUUAAGAGGGUGAUCAAGCAAAGCAUUCUGUAGCUGGAGGAGCCUCCCCCAAGCUUGUGGGGGACUCUCUUCUUUGAGUUGAGCAAAGUUGUAUAUUUCCUGCAAGGCAGCUUGCUUCUUAUGGGCAGGGAAAUAUUUCUCACAGAAUUAAUAGACCAUAUCCUGGGGACUACUCACACAUCCAGGAGCAAGAAAAGUGAACCAGGAUUUAGCAUCAUCCUUUAGAGAGAAAGGAAACAGCUUAACGAUAUAGUAGUGGCGGAUCUUCUCCUCACUCGUGAAAAGGGUGGCUAUAUCGUGUAGUUUGGUAAGAUGGGCUACGACCGUCUCAGAUUCAUAACCGUGGAAAGGAUCAGAUUUGACUAGAGAGAUUAUCGCAGGAUCGACAGAGAAUUCAUAAUCCUUAUCGGUGAUAAAGAUAGGUGAAGUGGCAAACUUCGGGUCGUAUUUCAUCCUAGCUUUCAGAGAAUUUUCCUUCCACUUGAGAAGUAAUUUCUCGGCGUCAUAGGCAUCCUUACAUGCAAGAAAAUCCUCAGCUAUCUCUCCCUCCAUAACGUAACCCUCAGGUAUAUCAGGCAAUUCAUAUCUAGGAGAGCUAGAUCUAGCAGGAGCAAAAGCAGGUUCUAUCUCAACAGUAUCGGCAGUUUCAAAAGCAUCACAAGCAUUGGCAGUAACUCUAGCAAUAUGAGCAUCAAGGAAUACUCCUAGUGGCACAUCAGGAAAAGUAGUAUCUCUAGCAGUAUCAAGCAUAGCGUCAUCAGGAAAAAUAGCAUCUCUAGCAUCAUCAGGCAAAGCAAUAUCAGGCAUAGCAUCUCUAGCAGUAUGAGGCAUAGCAUCUCUAGCAGUAUCAAGCAUAGUAUCUCUAGCAAUAUCAGGCAUAGCAUCUCUAGAAGUAUCAAGCAUAGUAUAUCUAGCAGUAUCAGGCAUAGCAUCUCUAGCAGUACUAGGCAUAGUAGCAUCAAACAUAGUAGCAUCAUAAGCAUCAUCAAGCACACGCGACAUAUCAAGAUUUCUAGCAGGAGGUGAUGUCACAAACUUACUCAUACCUGAAGGUGAAUCAAGUGCAGAGCUAGAUGGCAGUUCCUUACCUCCCCUCGUGGUUGAGGGCAAGACUUUAGUUUUUGGAUCUUUCAGAUUCUUCAUAGUGAUCAGUAGAUAUAAAUCCCAAGUGACUCAGAGAAUAUAGCAAUACCUCCCCGGCCACGACGCUAGAAAAAUGCUGCUAACGGCAGUCCCCGGCAACGACACUAGAAGAAUGUUGUUGACGAGUCCCUAGCUUGAUGCCUUCACGACAACAGAGCCAGAACUGCUCCCAGUUGCUCAACAAUUAGCAGUUGUCUUGCAAUGGCCCACCAGCGCGUGGGUUCGCGACAGUUUUCGAGGGUAGAGUAUUCGACCCAAAUUUGUUGAUUCGCCAGACAGGAAGUGAGAGGCUACUCUCGAGUAUUAGCAGCUGAAUGUGUCAGAUUCAACCACACCUAAAAGAUUAGUAUCUGCAAGCAAAGUAUCAGCAGCAAAGUAGGAUGAUAACAACGGUGUCAGAAACGAUCUGUUGACGGCAGACUAUUCCUAACUGUCGUAUCAAUGGCGCCAGAAGUUGCCCGUAGACGGAAAUAUUCUUUUCCCGUCAACGUCGAGCUAACCAGUAUUAUAGCAGGUAGCAGCAGUGUAACGAGUAACAGCAGUGGCAAGGAAUAGCAGUAGUGACAUCAAUAGCAAGUAGCAACAGUAGCAAGUAACAGCAGUAGCAAGCGACAGUAGUAACCGUAGUAGCAAGUAGCAACAGUAGUAACAGCAGCAGAGCAAAACAAGUAACAGCAGCAGUGGGACAAACUCGUAGGCAAUGGGUCGGUGAUUCGUUUGGAUGACAUUCAUUAUGCAACAGUUACAAUACGGAGAGAUAUGUGGCUAGCUCCCGUUCGUUAAUGUGAUGUAUGCAUGCAUUCCGUGUGUAGUCAUACGAGCUUAGGGAAAAGAACUUGCAUGACAUCUAUUGUCCAUACCUCCCAUGGCAGCGGGGUCCAAAAGGAUACUACAGGAUAUUAAGGUUCUCCUUUUAAUAAAGAACCGGAACAACACAUUAGCACUUGGUGAACACAUGAACUCCUCAAACUAUGGUCAUCGCCGGGAGUGGUUCCGGUUAUUGUCACUCCGGGGUUGUCGGGUCAAAACACAUAGUAGGUAACUACAACUUGCAAGAUCGAAUCUAAAACACACAUAUAUUGGUGACAGCAUAAUAAUUUCAGAUCUGAAAUCAUGGCACUCGGGCCCUAGUGACAAGCAUUAAGCAUGGAAAAGUAGUAGCAACAUCAAUCUCAGAACAUAGUGGAUACUAGGGAUCAAUCCCUGUCAAAACUAACUCGAUUACAUGAUAAAUCUCAUCCUACUCAUCACCGCCCAGUGAGCCUAUGAAUAGAUUACUCAUGAACGAUGAAGAGCUUCAUGGAAUUGGAGAGGGAAGAAGGUUGAUGAUGACGAUGGCGACGAUUUCCCCUCUCAGGAGCCCAAAACGGACUCCAGAUCUGUCCUCUAGAUGAAGAACAGGAUGUGGCGGCGCCUCCCUAUCGCAAACGCGAUGAAAUCUUCUCUUCUGAUUUUUUUCUAGGCGAAAGUGAAUUUAUAGAGAUGAGUUUGGGGCGGUAGAGCCACGUGGGCCCCACAAGUUUGGUUGCCGCGGCCACGGGGGUGGCCGCAGCAAUAGGGCUUGUGGCCCACUGGCCCAUCCCCUCCGGUGGAUCUUUGUGCAGGUAUUUUUCAUAUUUUCCAGAAAAAUUCUCCGUAAAUUUUCAGGACGUUCCGAGAACUUUCAUUUCUGCACAAAAACAACACCAUGACAAUUCUGCUGAAAACAGCGUCAGUCCGGGUUAGUUCCAUUCAAAUCAUGCAAAUUAUCGUCGAAAACAAGGGCAAAAGAGUUUGGAAAAGUAGAUACGAUGGAGACGUAUGAGUCACAAGGAUAGGUGAAGUGGCAAACUUCGGGUCGUAUUUCAUCCUAGCGAUCAGAGAUUUUUCUUUCCACUUGCGCAGAAGUUUCUCAACAUCAUAGCUAUCCUUACAUGCAAGAAAAUCCUCAGCUAUCUCUCCCUCCAUAACAUAGCGCGUAUCAGGCAUAACAGGCAUAGUAGCAGGUUCUACUUGAAUAGUAUCAGCAGUUUCAGAAGUAUCAUCACAUCUAGCAGCAAUUCUAGCAAUAUGUGCAUCAAGGGCACCAAGUGGCAAAGCAGUAUCAGGCAUAGCAGGCAUAGUAUCAAGCAUAGCAUCAUCAGGCAUAGUACCUAGCAUAGCAUCAUCAUAAGCAUCAUGGGCAGCAGAAGUAGCAUCAUCAAGCACAUGCGACAUAUCAAGAUUUCUAGCAGGAGGUGAAGUUGCAAACUUACUCAAAACCAAAGGUGAAUCAAGUGCAGAGCUAGAUGGCAGUUCCUUACCUCUCCUCGUAGUGGAAGGUAGGAUUUUAGUUCUUGGAUCUUUCGGAUUCCUCAUAAUGAUCAGCAGACGUCAAUCCCAAGUGACUUAGAGAAUAUAGUUAUGCUUCCCCGGCAACGGUGCCAGAAAAAGCCUUUAUGUCCCACAAGCGUAUGGGAUCGCAGCAGUUUUCGAGGGUAGAGUAUUCAACCCAAAAUUAUUGAUUCGCUCACAAGGUGAAGCUAAAGAAUAUUCUCAAGUAUUAGCAGCUGAGUUGUCAAUUCAACCACACCUGAAAGAUUUAGUGUCUGCAAGCAAAGUAUCAGUAGCAAGGUAGUAUGAUAGCAACGGCACCAGAAAAAGCUUUGACAAUCCCCGGCAACGGCGCAAGAAAAAGCCUUGAUGUCCCACAAGCGUAUGGGAUCACAGUAGUAAGUAACAACAGUAGUGACAGUAGCAGCAAGGAACAGUAGUAAAAGACUCGUAGGCAGUGGAUCGGUGAUGGAUGAGUAUGCCAGAUGUGAUUCAUCAUGUAACAUCUAUAACACGGAGAGAUAAGUAACUAGCUCCCGUUCGUCAAUCUAAUGUAGGCAUGUAUUCUAUAUGUAGUCAUGCGUGCUUAGGGAAAAGAACUUGCAUGACAUCUAUUGUCCAUCCCUCCCGUGGCAGCGGGGUCCUAAUGGAAACUACGGGAUAUUAAGGUCCUCCUUUUAAUAAAGAACCGGGCCAACGCAUUAACACGCGAUGAAUACAUGAACUCCUCAUACUAUGGUCAUCUCCGGGAGUGGUUCCGGCUAUUGUCACUCCGGGGUUGUCGGGUCAUAACACAUANNNNNNNNNNNNNNNNNNNNNNNNNNNNNNNNNNNNNNNNNNNNNNNNNNNNNNNNNNNNNNNNNNNNNNNNNNNNNNNNNNNNNNNNNNNNNNNNNNNNAGACCCAAUCCUAAGCAUAGCACUAGAUCGUAUUGUUCGUAUGCUAAAGCUUUUCUAAUGUCAAGUGUCUUUUCCUUCGACCGUGAGAUUGUGCAACUCCCGGAUAUCGUAGGAGUGCUUUGGGUGUAUCAAAUGUCACAACGUAACUGGGUGACUAUAAAGGUGCACUACGGGUACCUCUGAAAGUGUCUAUUGGGUUGGUACGAAUNGGUUACCGAAAGUUGUCCAGAGUCCCGGAUGAGAUCCCGGACGUCACGAGGAGCUCCGGAAUGGUCCGGAGGUAAAGAUUGAUAUAUAGGAUGGAUGGGUUUGGACACCGGAAAUGUUUCGGGCAUCACCGGUAGCGUACCGGGACCACCGGAAAUGGUCCCGGGGGGUCCACCGGGAGGGGCCACCAGGCCCAAGAGGUAGCAUGGGCCAAAAGAGGGAGGGAAAGCAGCCCAAAGUGGGCUGGUGCGCCUCCCACAAGAGGCCCAAGGCGCAGGAGGGAGGGAAGGGGGGGACCCUGGCGCUGGUGGGCCUAAGGCCCACCUAAGGGGUGCGCCACCCCUCCCCGUGCCAUUGCCGCCACACCUCCCAUUUGGGGGGCUGCUGCACCACCUAGGGGGGAAACCCUAGGGGUGGAACCCCCUCCCCUGCUCCUAUAAAUAGAGAGGGGUUUGGGGAUGUUUUGCACAUGGUUUCUUCUCCUCUCGGCGCAGCCCUGCUCCCCUCCUUCCUCCUCCUCCCACGGUGCUUGGCGAAGCCCUGUCGGGAGACGUCGUCUCUCCAUCGACACCACAGCAUCCUGCUUCUGGAGAGCUUCCCCGACCUCUCCCUCCUCUUUGCUGGAUCAAGGUGGGGGAGACGUCACUGAUAACCCACAAGUGUAGGGAUCACAACAGUUUUCGAGGGUAGAGUAUUCGACCCAAAUGUGUUGAUUUGCCAAAGGGGAAACGAAAGAAUAUUCUCGAGUAUUAGCAGCUGAGUUUGUCAAAUUCAACCACACCUGAAAGACUAGUGUCUGCAAGCAAAGUAUCAGUAGCAAAGUAGUAUGAUAGCAAUGGUGCCAGAAACGAUCUAUUGACGGCAGACUAUUCCUCACUGUUGUAUCAAUGGUGCCAGUGUUGCACGUGGGCGAGUAAUUAUUCUUCCCCGACAACAGUGUCGGAAAAGAUCUUGCAACAAGUAACAGUGAAGUAGCAAGGAACAACAGUAGCAGCAGUGAUACGUCUCCGUCGUAUCUACUUUUCCGAACUCUUUUGCUAUUGUUUUGGACUCUAAUUUGCAUGAUUUGAAUGGAACUAACCAGACUGAUGCUGUUUUCAGCAGAAUUGCCAUGGUGUUGUUUUUGUGCAGAAAUAAAAGUUCUCGGAAUGUCCUGAAAAUUUACGGAGAUUUUUUCUGGAAUAAAGGAAAAAUACCUGCGCAAAGAUCCACAUGAGGGGGCGUGUGAUGUCAGCUGUGCUUCCCUGGCAACGGCGCCAAGAAUAGUCUUGUCGACGGCACCAAGAAUCCUUCUGCUGCGGCUACGCCUUAAGGGACUUCCUAGGCAAAUAUGCAAAGGAUUUCCCCCGUGGCCUUGGAGCCUUGCAUUGGUGUUCCCUCGAAGCGGAAAGGGUGAUGUAGCACAGCGGUGGUAAGUAUUUCCCCCAGUUUGAGAACCAAGGUAUCAAUACAGUGGAGGAGUAUCACAAGAUCCUGCACAAACACAAAAGGUUUGCUCCCAACGCUAUGAAGGGGUUGUCAAUCCCUUAUAGAUUGUUCGCCAAGUGAGAACUGAAAGCAACAAAGUAACAAAGCAAAGUAGAAGCGAAGGUGUAAACGAUGGAUGUGAAUAGACCCGGGGGCCGUAGUGUUUACUAGUGGCUUCUCUCAUGAAAGCAAGUAGACGGUGGGUGAACAAAUUACUGUCGAGAAAUUGAUAGAACCGCGCAAAGUCGUGACGAUAUCUAUGGCAAUGAUUAUAUCUAUAGGCAUCACGUCCAAAACAAGUAGACCGAUACUUUCUGCAUCUACUACUAUUACUCCACACGUCGACCGCUAUCUAGCAUGCAUCUAGUGUAUUAAGUCCAAAAGAACAGAGUAACGCCUUAAGCAAGAUGACAAGAUGUAGAUGGACAAUCUCAUAUCGACGACAGAGCCCAUCUUGUUACCCUUGAUGGCAACUACUUAAUGUGUGCCUUGCUGCCCCUACUGUCACUGGGAAAGGUCACCACAUGGUAGAACCCAAAACCAAGCACUUCUCCCAUUGCAAGAAUCAUAGAUCUAGUUGGCCAAACAAAACCCAAGACUCGAAGAGACUUACAAGGAUAUCAAAUCAUGCAUAUAAGAAAUCAGCAAAGACUCAAAUAUAUAUCAUAGAUAAUCUGAUCACAAAUCCACAAUUCAUCGGAUCUCGACAAACACACCGCCAAAGAAGAUUACAUCGGAUAGAUCUCCAUGAAGAUCAUGGAGAACUUUGUAUUGAAGAUCCAAGAGAGAGAAGAAGUCAUCUAGCUACUAACUACGGACCCGUAGGUCUGAAGUGAACUACUCACGAGUCAUUGGAGGGGCAAUGAUGAUGAUGAAGAAGCCCUCCAACUCCAAAGUGCCCUCCGGCAAGGUGCCGGGAAGGGUCUCCAGAUGAGAUCUCGCGGAAACGGAAGCUUGCGGCGGCGGGAAAGUAUUUUCGAGGCUCCCCUGAUUUUUUGCUGUAUUUUAGGGAAUAUAUAGGCCAAAGAUCUAGGUCAGGGGGCGGCUAGGGAGGCCACAAGCCCUGCCACCGCCGCCUCCCCAAAGUCAGAUUUGAAAAGAGCCAAAAACACAGAAAAAACAGGAACUGGCACUUGGCACUGAAUUGAUAAGUUAGUCCCAAAAAAUAUAUAAAAGGUACAUAAAACAUCCAAAGAUGACAAGAUAACAGCGUGAAACCAUCAAAAAUUAUAGAUACGUUUGAGACGUAUCAGCGUGCCAGUGGGCCACAAGCCCACAUGCCGCGGCCACCCCCUAUGGUCGUGCCGUGCGGGCUUGUGUGGCGCACGUGGCACCACCGCCCCAAAUCUCAGCUCUAUAUCUUCCGUUUCGCCUAGAAAAAAAAUUAGAGAGAAGGUUUCAUCGUGUUUUGCGAUACGGAGGUGCCGCCACAUAUUGUUCUUCAUCCGGAGGGCAGAUCUGGAGUCCGUUUCGGGCUCCGGAGAGGGGAAAUCAUCGCCAUCGUCAUCAUCAACCUUUCCCCAUCGACAAUUCCAUGAUGCUCUUCAUCGUUCGUGAGUAAUCUCAUCGUAGGCUUGCUGGACGGUGAUGAGUUGGAUGAGAUCUAUCAUGUAAUCGAGUUAGUUCUUGACGGGGAUUGAUCCCAAGUAUCCACUAUGUUCUAGAUUGAUGUUGCUACUACUUGGCUAUGCUUAAUGCUUGUCACUAGGGCCCGAGUGCCAUGAUUUCAGAUCUGAACCUAUUAUGUUGUCGCCAAUAUAUGUGUGUUUUAGAUCCUAUCUUGCAAGUUGUAGUCACCUACUAUGUGUUAUGACCCGNNNNNNNNNNNNNNNNNNNNNNNNNNNNNNNNNNNNNNNNNNNNNNNNNNNNNNNNNNNNNNNNNNNNNNNNNNNNNNNNNNNNNNNNNNNNNNNNNNNNGUAGCCGGUUCUGCCCAGUCUGCCGUUUCGAGAUGCCUCCCCUGUCCGCUGACGAGCCGGAGCCGGUGGCUGAGAAAGCCGCUACGACAUCUGAACAAGUUGGCAGCAACUCAACUGGAGAAUGCCCAUCCACUGAGUGAGUCACUCUGCUUGCUGCCGUCCCUGUUUAUGUUCAUCUGAAUAUCUGAUUAGCGAUCACAGAUAGUGUAAUUUUGUUCGAGAUUACUGUCCUCAAUGUUUAUCAAAACUACCACUUCGUAUCGAACCUUGAAACAAAUCUCACCAUCUCAGUGGUGACUCCUCACCCUAUACAUGAAUCGAGGUUAUUGAUUGGUUGAGUUUACAAAGUUCAUUAUUCUUCCGGUAAAAUUGUUCUAGUCAUAAUGUAUCGAUGUAAUGCCUUAUUGAAAUAUAUCUGGAACAAUCAUCAGAAUACUUUAUCGAGUCCGGGGCUGGACAGAUCCUUCAAGCAUCUGUGGAUAGCCAGGAUUCCUCUUAAUAUAAGAUCAAAGUAUGGUUAUACUGAUCUGGCACAAUGCCAGUGCUACGGAAGAUAGUAUGAGAAAACGCAAAUGGACUGGUGAUUGCACUUGUCAAUUUUGUGAUGAAAAUAAGGGCAUCCAUCGUUAAAUCUUUACUUGUUCUGCUGCUGUUUAUAUGUGGAGCAUUAUUUGCCGUGCUCUGGGUAUUUUUUUUAUAGACGUGUUUGUUUUACACAAUACUUCUGGUGGGCAGCGAAGAACAUUCUGCUAGCCGCUAGGCCCUAACCGUCAUGUGGUGGGCAUUGCAGCCUUUUGCUGGGUGUUGUGGAAAACUCGUAAUAACAAGUUAUAUCAGCCCUUGUUGAUCUAAUUUGUUAAAUGUGUGCUUCCCUUCCUGUUUGGACAGGAAUACAGAAUGAUGGUGCGGCGAGCCUGCAACAUAUUGCUGUGAGAGCUCAUGAGGCUGUGCAGGCGGCUUCUUUGCAUGGCCAGUCCAGUAUCGAUGAAGCUGAAGGUGAAGUCUGCGGAUGCCCGAGUGACUGUGUUGCUGAUUGUCACUUUGUUGACAUGCUGUUGCACCAAUGAUAAUUAGUUUCUUAUUCUGAUAGUGUUGUUGAUUCACCUGGUACCAAUCUAGGGUUGUCCACUGUCAGGGAGAACAUUAUCACCAUCAAUCUACCUUCAUUAUAUAGCUAUAUGAAAAGGACUGAUCCCACUUUGAAUCCCUUGAUAA